RNAcentral lists this long non-coding RNA (51177 nucleotides) under Lathyrus oleraceus (garden pea). Its description in RNAcentral is "Pisum sativum (pea) long non-coding RNA (PSAT_LNC032561)". Lineage: Eukaryota; Viridiplantae; Streptophyta; Magnoliopsida; Fabales; Fabaceae. The record is from RNAcentral.
UUUUUUUUAAUAUAUUUUUUAAAAUAAAAUUUUAAAAUUAUUAUUUGAUGUAGGUAUUGGGGUAGAAAAUGGAGUGUAGGAAUAACCUUACUCUUAUCAAUAUCUCUCGUAUAGAGGAGGAAACAUAUAAGCUUAUUGAAACACUACUUUUAUUUUCUAUAUACUAUAUGAUUACACGUACGUACACACACAAAAUCAUAGUCAUCAUCAUGUACAUACACGAGUGACCAAUAGAAGUAACGGCAACAAAGGUAUUUGUGAUAGAGAAUGCAGCUGAGGGUGCCUCAGCUUCUCCUGCUGGGCCAUUUGUUCCUGGUGCUGGUGGAGAAGAAGUGUUUGGGGUUGGUGAUGAAGGAGAAGAAGUGGUUGAAGGAGAGGGUGCUGGAGAAGAAGUUGUUGCAGGAGAAGGUGUUGGUGAUGUGUUUGUGGAGGGUGAUGGAGCAGGUGCUGAAUUGGGUGAUAAUGAUUGUGUGGGUGCGGGUGCAGGAGCCUGUUGUGCUAUGCAUGAGGUAGCCAAAAGCCCCAAUAUCAAAAACACUUUGACUGCAAGAGAACCCAUGUUUUAUUUAUAUAUAUGUUUUUGUGAUAGAGAAGAAUGUUGAGUGAAAUAUGAUUCCUCCAAAUAAAUAGUUUGUAAGAUAAUUGAUUUGUGUAAAGUUCAAGUCCAUAAUUGGGGGUAUAUAUAGUGUGCAAAUAUGCUUGUGUGUUUUCUUAGCGAAUCGGUGUCUGAUUAAUAAUUAGUCAAAUAAAAUAAAACACUACAUUUCCUUUUGUUUUGCAUGCAAUUUUCAUUUUCCAAUUGAUAUUUUUUAAUGAUAUUUUUGUCUUUUUUUAGCGAGGGCGGUUGUGACUUUAGAUGAGUAAUAGGUCAAAUAAAAUAAAAGACUACUUUUCCUUAUUUUUUAAAAGAUAUUAUUUCUUUAAUGCAAAUUUCUUUUUACAAUAAACAUUUACUUUGUGUUUGCAAGUGCAAGUUAAGUAAUACGACACUGGUUGUGUGCAGGCGAAGUUUCGACGUACGGUAUAACCGCGUUUAACCAUUCUCAAUUUGAUUUUUUCUCUGUUUCUAGGUUACCCAGUCAAAGAUUGAUUUGUUCACGUGACAGUGAAGGAUAAGGAAAGCGCUAUCUUUUAUAAUUAUUCGAUUAAAAGAAAAAGAAGCAAAGUUACAAAAUUAAAAGAUAAGAUAAAAUUUUAAAAUAAAUAGUAUUUUUUUUGGUUUAAAGUAAAUAGUUAAAGGUGUGAAAAACAGUUUUCUCAUUAAAAAGUUUAUAAAAAAAUUUAAUAGAAUUUAAUUUUAGUUAAAGAAAGAGUGCAAAGUAAAAGAAAAUUUAAAUCAUUAUUCUUCUGAUUCUAUUUAUAAGAGAAAAUUAAUUUGUUAAGUUUAUUAAAUAAUUAAUGUAUUUGAUUUAAUAUAUCGUCUAAAUAUAUUGAUUAUUCCAUGAAUAUAAAGUAUAAAUUUUCUCCCUAAAUAUAACCGGAGAUAGUAAUCAGCAAAUCCUAAAAAUUAUUAAGGUAUCUUUAUCUUUAAAAUACUGCAUGGUGCGACAAGUUCAAGGAAAUAUUCAAUUUAGCAAUUUGUUACAAAAAUGUUUGACAAAUGAAAUGUACUGGCGUCUGGCAAAAGUCCGGAAUCAGGGCCAAUUUGUUUUAGCUUAUAAAAAAUAGAUUUUUUAUUUUUAUUUUUGAAAAUGAAUUUUACAAAAAUAUUUUUUAAAAUAUUAAGAGUUUUUCUACAUUUGUUUUUUUAUAGAUUGAAUUGUUCAUUGUAUAACAUAAAUAUAGAUUAUUGGAGAUUAAAACAUACUCAAAAUCACAAUUUUUUCAAAAAGUUGUAUCUUAAAAAUGAUUUUUAUGAAAAACUAUUUGAAAUAGCUUCAAAAUUAAGUGAUUUUUUAAAAUUUUGAUAUCCAAAAAAAGUUUCGAUAAAAUGAUGAAAUACCUAAAAUAACAUUUUAAGAAUAACUAUUCAAACCAAAUUUUCAUUUGAAGCUUUUAUGAAAAGUUUCUUUGUAAAUAUCCAAAAAAAGUUUCGAUAAAAUGAUGAAAUACCUAAAAUAACAUUUUAAGAAUAACUAUUCAAACCAAAUUUUCAUUUGAAGCUUUUAUGAAAAGUUUCUUUGUAAAUUUUUUUUACACUAAAUUAUAUAACACUAUAAAAAUCAUUUUUAAAAAAGCCAAAACAAACGGGCCCUAGAUUGAUUCAAUAUGACAUUUUACAAAGUAAUUUGGGAUAUUAUUAAAUUUGAUUAAUUUGACAGUGUUAAUGAAUUAUUCUCUACGGAUCAUCUUCCAAAAGCUAUCAAUGCUUCUUUUUCUCGCUUUAACUCUGUUUGUCGAUGUUACUGUCAUCCUUGGAGACUAAUAAAAUAUUUGGGGUGAAGAGGGUCCCGAUAAUCAUGUGACUAAUGAUGUUGAAGAAAAAGAUAAGGAAGAAAAGGAUGUUGCUGCUGGUGAUAAUUAUGAAAAUGACACAAAUGCCUCUGUUGGCAUCUGAGUUGCUUGUUCUUAUUUUGUUUGAUUUUGUGGGCUUUGCCUUGGAUUUUUUUUAGCACCCUUGUGUGCUUUCGUAUGUACCCCUAACUCAUUUUCUGGUUGUUGAUUCUGGUUUCGAUAAAUGUCUGUUUGGUUUGUCAAUAUUCUAGCUAAAAGGGGGGAGUAGUGUGUGUAUAAUGUAUGUAUUUGUGUGUUGUUUGCCUUGGGUGUGAAGUGUUCCGGUUGUUUCAUUGAGGGGGAGUAUGGGCUCCGUGUGGCAGGGGGACUAAUACCUUGAUAGUUGAUCAUGCCAUUCAGGGGGAGUAUGGUGUUUGUGUGCUUAGGCUCUAUGGGUGCUUGCUGUAUAGUUGUGAUGUCAGACAUAAUGUCUUGGCAUUUUAUGUCAGAGAAUCUUUUCUCUAUGUGAUUUUUUUUUCUUUGAGGCUGGGUUUCUUCUCUAUAUUUCUGUUGCACGUGCCUCUGUUUUAUCUUGGUGGUAUACCAAGUUUAUGUGUGUUCUUUUUGUGAUUAUGAUUGCUGAUGUUGUGUGACUCUUUCUCCAUUUAUAUUAUGCAAAGGUUAUUUUAGCCAAAAUUUGCCAAAGGGGGAGAUUGUUAGGUAUGUGAUUUUAUGAUUGACAAUAAUUUUGUUAAAAUAUGUAUCACAACAAGAUGUUGAGCGAGAUGUCUUGACAUGUUGAUCAAACAUCUUUGCAGGAUCUGUUUUGCUUUUUGGAAGAUUUAUUUUAUUAUGAGAUCUCUGAAGAUUCUCUGAAUAUUCAACUAUCUUAUCUAACUAUCUGAGAAGGUUUAUUUUAUGAACACAUGGUUCUGUCCCAGCUGUGCGCUUGUUUCUUAAAAAGGAAUGUUGUGAAAUUUUACGAAACAUAUGAUCUUGUACCUGAUUUUAUGCAGAAGAUUCUACAGGAUUAGUGCAGCUGUCCAAAUUAGAUCUAUUGCGGUUUUUAAGCCUAAGCACAUGCUUACCAAAGGCUAUUUAAAGAGGACGUUACUAAACCUAAUUAACAGAAGUGAGAUCUACGCUUGAUAUUAUUGGAAUUAGGGUUUUAGUUGUUCUUUGUUAUUUCUUAUGAGCCACAAUUAUAUCACUUUGAUAUUAGAGUUGGUAUGUGUUUGAUUUGUAAUUGGUAAAUCACUCAUAAGCUUUUAAGCAGAGUGGGUUAUAUGUUUUAGAAGUGUGUUUUCCAUUAUUUGAUUAAAGUCAUUAUCAAUGUGUGUGAUUGAAGGGAAGUGAAAGGGGUCUCAUAUCUAGGAGAGUCUUAGAUAGAAAUAACAAGGGUAGUGAUUAGGUGCGAAGAUUGUAAACAGGAGGUUUUUUACUGAGGUCUUCAAACUAAUACUAUUAUAGUGGAUUUCCUUCCUUGCUUUGAUGCACCUAGUUGCACCGAACUGGGUUAACAAUCAUCUAUAAAAAAGUGCGCACAUAAAACAGAGUCGCCACAGAUGAUAUUUAUCCCAAGAUGGGGAAAGGAAUCACUGAGUAAACCUACAAAAAGGAUGAAUCUAAUGGUCUCGCAACCAAGAGAUGGGUAAGGGAGUCGAUCACGCAAGGGAAAAUUAUUAGCACCCCUCACGUCUAUAGUACUCUACAGGAUCCACUCUUGUUGUUCUGAUCGAAAAGGUGUGUUUAUUCUAAAACUUGUAAGAACAAAAAUUGUUCUACAACAGAUUCCUUGAUUUUGAUGAUAACAAAGGAUGAAACCAAAAAUGGCACCCUAACGAAAAGUUUCUAAGUGUGCAGGGUUCUAAAGAAAGAAGUAAUAAAUCUGAUGAUGUCAUCAGAUGCACAACAAGAUCAGAUACAAAUUCUCAAGUAUCAGAAGCAUCUGAAGUGGAAUCUCGUUCAAGAAAGUCUGACUCUGGACAAAACUGCAAAGUAUCAGAAGCAUCUGAACAUGAAGUAAAGUCUAGAAGCUCUGACUCUGAACAAAUGCCUUCUGUAAAUUCUGAAGUUAUCAGCGCCAUCUGAACUUUCAAGAGAUAACAUCAGAAGCCAGUUUCUCCAGAUACACGAAGACUCUAAUCAGAAUUGUUAAUCAUGAUGAAGUAACGUUUAAGCCAAGUUAAAGUUCUGCAAAUGGAUUUCCUCAAUUAGAAAGAGACGUUAAUCUCCACUUCCAAGAGAGAAGAUACUAAUUGUGGUAAGUAGUCACUUCUAAGAGAAAAAGUCUACUGCAGAAGCUAUUAAUGGAAUGGCGUAACUACAUCUCAAUAUCCAACAGAUUCAACGCUACUUCAACUCUACUUCAACUCCUAUAAAUAGAGAAGAAAUCUCAUUCAGUAAACACGAAGAAAUCACUAGCCAAAACUAUACUGAAAUUAUAUCACGCUCAAGAAAAACAUCUUUGUUCUUCAAAGAUUUUCACUAAGCUUUUGCUUAUCAAGUGAAAAAUUUGUUCUUAAGUUUGUAAUAUUUGCUUUCUUAGAAGCACUCUAGAUUACACAUCUUGUAUCUAAUUUUUAUUUGAUUUCCUCAAGUGACUCUUUGUAGUCUGUAGACUUGAGAGGACUAAGAGAUUUUCUUCUCUCUUAGGGGUUGUUUGUAAUCUUUCAAGAUUAGUGGAUUAAGUCCUUGUUGAAGGCGAAAUCACCUUGGCCGGGUGGACUGGAGUAGCUUUGUGUUAUAAGCGAACCAGUAUAAAAUCCUUGUGUGAUUUUCAUUUUGAAAAGCGCUUAUUUUUCCAAACAAUUCAAACCCCCCCUUUCUUGUUUUUCUCACCUUCAAUUGGUAUCAGAGCUCCGGCUCUGUUAUUGAUUUUCAAAUCAAACACUUAACCGUGUAGAGAGAUCCAGUGCGAGAAAAACAAAUGGCCCACUCAAAUGAGAAAGAUUCUUACAAUGCCAAGCCUCCUGUUUUUGAUGGAGAAAAGUUUGAUUACUGGAAAGAUAGAAUCGAAAGUUUCUUUCUGGGUUAUGAUGCUGACCUCUGGGACAUUGUCACAGAUGGAUACACACCUCCAGUCUUAAAUGGAGCUGAAGUUCCCAGAAGUAAGAUGUCAGAAGAUCAGAAACGUGUCUUCAAAAAUCACCACAAGGCCAGAACAAUACUUCUAAAUGCUAUAUCAUACAACGAAUAUGAAAAGAUCACCAACAGAGAGACAGCCAAAGAUAUACUUGACUCUCUGAAGAUGACCCAUGAAGGAAACUCCCAAGUCAAGGAGACGAAGGCUCUGGCGCUUAUCCAGAAAUAUGAAGCCUUCAAAAUGGAAGAUGACGAAGCUAUAGAGGCUAUGUUUUCCAGAUUUCAAACUCUUAUUGCAGGUCUUAAAGUGCUAGACAAAGGAUACACAACUGCAGAUCAUGUUAAGAAGAUAGUCAGAAGUCUGCCAAAGAAAUGGAGACCUAUGGUUACUGCUCUGAAGCUGUCAAAGGAUCUGAACAAUAUCAGCCUUGAAGAACUUGUUAGUUCUCUCAGAAGCCAUGAGAUAGAACUAGAGGAGGAUGAGCCUCAGAAAAGGAACAAGUCCGUAGCGCUAAAGUCCAGAUCUGAAAGACGGAAACCUGACAGAACCAAAGCUCUCCAGGCAGAAACUGAAGAUACUGACGACUCUGAACCAGAAGACUCUGAUGAUGAAGAAGAGUUGUCCCUACUAACCAGAAGAGUUAAGCAACUCUGGAAAAAGAGGAACAACAACUUCAGAAGACCAAGACCCAGAGGGGAUCGAUCAGAGUCAACUUCAAAAGGUAAAGCUAACAAAGAUAUUACCUGUUAUGAAUGUAAAGAAACAGGUCAUUACAGAAAUGAAUGCCCCAAGCUGAAGAAAGACAACCCUAGAAAAGAAAGCUUCAAGAAAAACACCUUCAGAACAAAGAAAGGACUGAUGGCUACCUGGGAUGAUAGUGAAUCUGGAUCAUCAGAAUCUGACUCUGAUGAACAGGCCAACGUAGCACUUAUGGCUACCACAUCCAGCAGCUCAGACGAAGAAUCUGAAGAGGUAUUUUCUGAACUUUCUCGAUCUGACUUAGAAUCAUGUUUGUCAGAAACUCUUACCUCUUAUCAGAAAUUAAAACAAAAGUUUAAAAACAUUAAAGGCUGUCUUAAAACAAAAUUUGAAGAAUGUAAUGAACUUGAGAUAACAAUUCUAGCACAUGAAGAUACAAUCAGAUCUUUAACGUUAGAAAGAGAUGGAGCAAAAACAAAAAGCUCAGAAUUAGAAGAAGCGUUGUCUCAAGCACCACAAACUUCAAAUAAAAUUAUUUAUAAAUAUGAAGAAGCCUUUCAAGAAUUUCUGAAGAAUGGGAUAGAUAGGAGUAUUAUGGCAUCCAUGAUUUAUGGAGUAAGUCAGAACAAUAAAAGGGGAAUUGGGUAUGAUCCUAAGGAAGAUAAAACUUCUACAAGUGAUCAAAUUAAAUCUCCUUUUUCAUAUCACUACACACACACACAAGAACACAAAUUUAAAAAUGCUAGAAGACCCAAAGUUAUAAGAAACUCUGGGAAAACUAAUCUAAAAGGACCCAAGAGAUUCUGGGUACCGAAAGAUAAGAUUAUCUAUGUUGCAGAUAUCCUAUGCAGCAAAGUUCAGACACCAGUCAUGGUACCUGGACUCUGGAUGCUCGCGACACAUGACGGGAAGAAAGUCUAUGUUCCAAAGUCUGGAACUUAAAGACGCUGGAUUUGUAGGCUUCGGAGGAGAUCAGAAAGGAAGGAUCAGAGGCUCCGGAACUAUUGGUAAUGGUACUCUUCCCUCUAUAUCUGAUGUUCUUUAUGUAGAAGGAUUAAUGCAUAACUUGUUAUCCAUAAGUCAAUUAAGUGAUAACGGUUAUGAUGUAAUCUUCAAUCAAAAAACAUGUAAAGCCAUUAAUCAGAACGAUGGCUCUGUCCUUUUCACAGGCAAGAGGAAAAACAACAUUUACAAAAUAAAUCUUUCUGAUUUAAAAGAUCAAAAUGUUAAAUGUCUAAUGUCAGUUCACGAAGAGCAAUGGGUAUGGCAUAGACGCUUGGGCCACAUUAGCAUGAGGAAACUUUCUCAGCUAACUAAACUCGAGUUAGUCAGAGGCCUACCUAAACUGAAGUUUUCUUCAGAUGCUCUGUGUGAAGCUUGUCAGAAAGGAAAAUUUUCAAAAACAUCUUUUAAAAAGAAAAAUGUUGUUUCUACCUCUAAGCCUCUGGAACUUCUUCACAUUGACUUAUUUGGUCCUGUGAAAACAGCAUCAGUUAAUGGAAAGAAGUAUGGACUAGUCAUUGUUGAUGAUUACAGUCGCUGGACAUGGGUAAAAUUCCUAAAGCACAAGAGUGAGUCUCACUCUGUAUUCACCAGUUUCUGUUCCAAAGUGCAAAAAGAAUUUGACUCUAAAAUUAUUAGAGUCAGAAGUGAUCAUGGUGGAGAAUUUGAAAACAAAGAUUUUGAAGAAUUAUUUGAUUCUAAUGGAAUAUCCCAUGAUUUCUCCUGCCCUAGAACUCCACAACAAAAUGGAGUUGUAGAGAGGAAGAAUAGGACACUCCAAGAGAUGGCCAGAACCAUGAUCAAUGAAACUAAUGUAGCAAAGCACUUUUGGGCAGAAGCUGUAAAUACAGCGUGUUACAUUCAGAAUAGAAUCUCUAUAAGACCUAUUCUGGAAAAGACUCCCUAUGAACUGUGUAAAGGAAGAAAACCAAACAUUUCAUAUUUUCAUCCUUUUGGAUGUUCUUGCUUUAUAUUAAAUACUAAAGAACAUCUGAACAAGUUUGAUUCCAAAGCACAGAAAGGUAUUAUGUUAGGAUACUCAGAACGCUCUAAAGGCUACAGAGUAUACAACACAGAAACCAAAAUUGUGGAAGAAUCAAUUCAUGUCAGAUUUGAUGAUAAGCUUGACCCUGAAAAGUCAAAGCUAGUUGAAAAGUUUGCAGAUUUGGAAAUCACUCUUGUAGAAUCUGAUAAAACUCCAGAAGCAACUGUCACUCAGAACUCUGAAGAAAUUAAAUCUCCAGAAAUCCCAAAGAAAGUCAAAAGUCGUAUCAAUGUAUCUGAAGAUUUGAUUCUGGGAAACAAGGACGAACCUGUCAGAACCAGAUCUACCUUCAGAACUUCUGAAGAUAUUCCUCUGGGACUAGUGUCUCUGAUUGAGCCUACGUCUUGUGAUGAAGCACUUCAGGAUAACGACUGGGUGGCAGCUAUGCAAGAAGAAUUGGAUCAAUUCUCAAAGAAUGAUGUCUGGGAUCUCGUUCCUAAACCCAGAGGCACUCACGUCAUUGGAACCAGAUGGGUUUUCAGAAACAAGCUGAACGAGAAAGGAGAAGUUGUCAGAAACAAAGCUCGACUGGUAGCUCAAGGUUACAGUCAACAAGAAGGUAUUGACUAUAAUGAAACCUUUGCUCCAGUCGCGAGGUUAGAAUCUAUUCGUCUUCUUGUAUCUUUUGCUAUUAAUCAUUCUAUUAAAUUAUAUCAAAUGGAUGUCAAGAGUGCAUUCCUUAAUGGUUAUAUAUCAGAAGAAGUGUAUGUCAACCAACCUCCAGGUUUUGAAAAUUCAAAUUUUCCAGAACAUGUUUUUAAACUUAAGAAAUCCUUAUAUGGACUUAAACAAGCUCCCAGAGCUUGGUAUGAACGAUUAAGCAAUUUUCUUCUGGAACAAAAUUUUAUCAGAGGGAAAGUUGAUUCUACACUCUUCUGUAAAAACCUUAAUAAUGAUCUCAUGAUAUGCCAGAUUUAUGUUGAUGAUAUUAUUUUUGGUUCUGCUAAUAUCUCUGUUUGCCAAGAAUUUUCUAAGUUAAUGCAGGCAGAAUUUGAAAUGAGUUUAAUGCAAGAACUAAAGUUCUUUCUGGGAAUUCAAAUUAAUCAAACUCCAGAAGUCACGUACGUCCAUCAAAGUAAAUACAUUAAAGACGUUCUGAAGAAGUUUGACAUGACUGAAUGCAACUCUGCAAAAACUCCCAUGCACCCAACUUGCAUUCUGGAAAAGGAAGAGGUAAGCAACAAGGUUUGUCAGAAGCUCUAUCGAGGUAUGAUAGGCUCUCUUCUCUAUCUGACUGCUACUCGUCCUGAUAUUCUCUUUAGUGUCUGUCUUUGUGCCAGAUUCCAAUCAGAUCCUAGAGAAUCUCAUUUAACAGCAGUUAAGAGAAUUCUUAAGUAUCUGAAAGGAACUCCUAACCUGGGCCUGAUGUAUGAGAAAACAUCAGAGUAUAGACUUUCUGGUUAUUGUGAUGCAGAUUAUGCAGGAGAUAGAAUAGAACGAAAAAGCACAUCUGGAAAUUGCCAGCUUCUGGGAAACAAUCUAAUCUCCUGGGCUAGCAAAAGACAGUCAACUAUUGCUCUAUCAACUGCAGAAGCAGAAUACAUCUCAGCAUCACUGUGCACAACUCAGAUGCUCUGGAUGAAGCAUCAGCUAGAAGAUCUACAAAUCUUUGAGAGUAACAUUCCUAUCUUUUGUGAUAAUACUGCUGCUAUUUGUUUAAGUAAGAAUCCCAUUCUACAUUCCAGAGCCAAACACAUUGAAAUAAAACAUCAUUUUAUCAGAGACUAUGUUCAGAAAGGGAUAGUAACAUUGAAGUUCAUUGAUACAGAACAUCAAUGGGCAGAUAUCUUUACUAAGCCUCUAGCUGAAGAUAGAUUUCUUUUUAUCUUAGAACAUCUGAACAUUAAAAAUUGUCCUGAAUGAAGUAUGGCUCUGAAAAUGUAAAAUGUGACUCUGAUGUAAACAAAUGUACUUCUGCCUCUGACUCUGAUACUUCUACCAAGUUAAGAAGAUAUCUGAGUUAGAAAUCUCCAGGAACCAAUCCUUUGGUAUUCCUGAAGAUCAGAUACAUCAACACGUGGAGCACUUAGCGUCCAACCCUAGAACUUCUAGACAGCUGUCCAGAAGAAAAUCAAAGGGAAACGUUUGAGAUCUCCUCGAGCAGUGUGCAUACUGUUGGGAUUAGACAUUCAUUAAUUAGCCUUAAUCAUUUCUCCCCCAAGCGUGCUUACUUGAGCUUUGUGCUAACGCAAUAUUGUGUGUCGUUUUGCAUGUGUUUUAACUUAGGGUAUUUAAACACUUUUCUCACUUUUCACACACUUUUCACUCUCACUCACUCUCAAACCCUCUCUAAAACCCUAAACCUCUCUGAAGCAUUCUCUGCAAACUCUCAAUCUUCAUCUUCUUCUUCACCAUGGACGCUCAACAACAAGAAGUGUUUAACUUUUCUCAACAAAUGGAAUCAAGCUCAACUGCUCAAACCUCAAGCAUUCCAACUCCAACGGUUACAGGCGUCACCAUCACCCCUGUUUACAAAGAACCUCACGUUCUUGACCGUGAACGCCAUAUCAACCUUUCAACCCCUUUUGAAGGUUUGGACGUGUUGUGUGAAUCGCUAGUUGAUUUCGACAACCUAAGAAGAAAUGGCGUUGAUCUAACUGGAGAACUUCGUCAACAAGGGUGGGAAAACUAUUUCCAAAGACUUUAUGGUCCCAUUUACCCACUUCUCGUCAAGGAGUUCUGGAGACAUGCAGAUGCAGAUGACAACUUCAUCGUCUCAUAUGUUCUGGGGGUGAAGAUUGUUAUUACUGAAGGGUCUAUUGCCUCCUUGUUGAACAUGGAGCGAAGUGGAGGAAAAAGGAUUUACAACAUUCCUCCUAGGUCAAAGCGCAUUACAGAUGUUAUCAACCCAACAAUCUUCAAACCCAACGUUGAAGGAAACCCUUCUAAAAACAAAGAGCUACACCAGAACCUCAGAGUGUGGCUGAAGAUUAUUCUGGGAACCAUUCACCACCGUCCAGCCUCUAACUCUUCUGACUACAUCAAUGCAGACCAGAAAUGCAUUCUGUACUGCAUUCAGAAGGGUGUGAAGAUCUCCCUCCCUGCUCUCCUUUUCAGAUAUCUGAGAGAUUCGGUCAGAGAAACCAGAAACAACAUGAAGCCCAGAUCCUACAUUCCUCUGGGAAGAUUGCUAUCUGAUGUCUUCAUUGAGCAUGGACUGGUAGACCAUCUGGAAAAGACAAAACUGAUGGAUGAUCUGGCAAUAGAUGUGGGGAAGCCUCUGAAUGCCAGAAACCUCAAGAGUAUGGGGAUAAUCAAGAAAAUUCAAGUCAGGCCAACUCUGGAUACAUCCUGGGAUAGUUUGAAAGAUCAGAGGAAGAUGCCUCAUGGCCUUGCCAGAUUCUUCAAGAAUGAACCCAGAGACGCUGUUGCUAUCUAUCUUCAUCGUCUGCUGGAAGAAGGUGUUGACGUCUCUGAUUUCAGCCUCGACGACUGUCUGGACUCUGAAGAAGACUUCGUCAGAUACAAGAGAGGUCUUUCUGAAAAGAAGGUAGCAUCUCAGGCAAAGAAGGCCAGACUCGGAGAAACUUCUGGAAGCAAAUCUUCAGCUCCUCUGAAUAUCUCUACUGGUAAGUCUGUUCCUCCUGUUACCUCUAAUCCUCUGAUGGCUUCUUCUAACCCUCUCUCUUCACAACCUAUUUAUACCACCUCUGAUAUUUCACCCUCAAUCACCAGAACCUCCCAACCUACACCAGUUCUAAAUAUAGCCCGUACAUUCAUACCUCCCUCUGAACCUAAACAAACCCACCAAAGCACUUCAUCUUCAUCAUCCUCAGCACCAGAAUCACCCCCAUAUGUUUCCCUCUCAUCUGACCCAGAAUUUUCUGACCCUGAUUCCCCAACCAUAGCCACAAUUUAUGCUCAUAGACUUGCUUCACAACAAACACAAACACAAUCUGAAGCAACUUCACCUCCACCACAACAAACAACCACCAUACCUUCUGAAGACCAACCCUCUGACCAUCCCACUUCUGAUAUCAACCCACCAAACACCUCUGCUGCACCUGAAUCUGAAACUGAAACUGAACCUUUAGAUUUAAAUCCUCUUUACGCUUCACCCCAAACAUCUGAACCUCAACCUGAAUCAGAAACUGAACCAGAACCUCUAACUCUAAAUCUCAGCCCUCCAACAUCUCCACCUCAUACCUCUGAACCUGACCUUUCUGUACCUACCCUUGAGGAAGCCAUCAUGCUGGUCGCAGGGGCUUCAGUACAAAAGGUCAAGUCUCUGACCACUAACUCUGAAGUCAGUGAUGAUCCUGACUCUGUAAGGACACACUGGAACAGAGUCAUUGGCUGGAUGACCUCUGAGUCUUUUAGGCUGAAGAGUAUCUCUGAACAAGUCAGAAAUGGCUACAUCAGAGAUGCUGAGGCAAGACUCCAAGAGAGAUUAGCCAGAGAAGCUGAAGCUAGAAGGCUAGAGGAAGAGAGAUUGGCAAAGGAAGCUGAAGAAGAAGCAAGAAGACUGGAAGAAGAAGAAAAAGCUCGUCAAGCUGAAAUCCUAAGGGAAAAGGAAGCUGAAGCUAAGGCUCUGGCGGAUGCAGAAGCCCAAGCUGCUGCUGAAGCUGAAGCUCAGCAGGCUCUGACUCUGGGGGAGUCCUCUUCUGUGAUCCCUAUGGUUCUUCAGACUCUGAAAGAACUUAAGCAAGAUCAGAAUGAACUCCGGGCCAGAAUGGACAAGCAAGAUACUGUCAACGACAACAUCCAGAACAUGCUUGCUAUGCUGCUUCAGAGAAUGCCUCCGCCUCCGAACCCUUAGGCACUUAGGAUUUAUUUUGCUUGCCUGUUGUUUUAUUUUCUCUGAAUCUGAUGUUUUCUAGUUCUUGUUGCCUUUGUGCUUUUAUCUGAAUACAAGUUUUUCUCUUAAUUUUUUUUUUUUUUGCUAUGUCUUUUUGAUUCUGACAAAAAGGGGGAGAAGUCAUUAAUAGCUCUGAUGAAAAUAUUGUCUAAAUACCUUAAGCAUUCUGCAACAUAUUUUUCUUAAAAAUAAAUUUAUCUAACCUGGACUUAAGAAAUUGCAGAAGGUAUCAAGAAACCUCUUUACUUAGAAGCUCUGGUAAGAACUUCUGAACUCCCUAGCACUAUCUCAGGGGGAGCUUCUGUCUAUCUGAUCUGAUAUUAUUCAUGUUUCAUCUGCUAAUUAAGGUUGUUUUGUCAUCAUCAAAAAGGGGGAGUUUGUAAGAACAAAAAUUGUUCUACAACAGAUUCCUUGAUUUUGAUGAUAACAAAGGAUGAAACCAAAAAUGGCACCCUAACGAAAAGUUUCUAAGUGUGCAGGAUUCUAAAGAAAGAAGGAAGAAAUCUGAUGAUGUCAUCAGAUACAAAACAAGAUCAGAUACAAAAUAUCAAAUGAUCAGAAGCAUCUGAAGUGGAAACACGUUCAAGAAAGUCUAACUCUGAGCAAAACAGCAAAGUAUCAGAAGCAUCUGAACAAGAAGUAAGCUCUAGAAGUUCUGACUCUGAACAACGCUAUCUCUAAGCUCCAGAAGUUAUCAGCGCUAUCUGAAGAAACUAUCUGAACUCAAGAGAUUAACAUCAGAAGCAAGAUUCCAAGAUUCUCCAGAAACACAAAUACUCUGAGCAUGGAAUUGCUAAUCAUGAAAGAGUAACGUUUAAGUCAAGAAAAGAUUUGCAAAUGGAUUUCCUAAUUGAGAAAGAGACGUUAAUCUCCAAUCUCAAUAAAGAAAAUACUACUUGUGGUAAGUAGUCAUUUCAAGAAGAAAAAGUCAUCCUGCAGAAGCUAUUUAUGUGAUGGCGUAACUUCAUCUCAAUAUCCACCAGUUUCAACUACUACCUCACUGAUCUAUAUAAAGGAUUGAGAAUCAACUUUCAAAAAAAUAUACUAGCUAACAAGUCAGUAAGCCAACAAGCCAAAAUUAUACUGAAACACCAAGUCAAGAAAAACAUUCUUUCUCUCUAAGAUAUUCACGAAGCUUUUGCUUAUAACGUGAAAAACUCUUGUUCUUAACACUGUAAUAUUUGCUUUCUUAGAAGCACUCUAGAUUACAUAAAUCUUUCAUUUAUUGUUUGUUGAUUUCCUCAAGUGACUCUGUGUAGUCUGUAUACUUGAGAGGGCUAAGAGAUUUUUAUCUUAGACGUUGUUUGUAAUCUUUCAAGAUUAGUGGAUUAAGUCCUUGUUGAAGGCGAAAUCACCUUGGCCGGGGGGACUGGAGUAGCUUUGUGUUAUAAGCGAACCAGUAUAAAAUCCUUGUGUGAUUUUCUUUUUGAAAAGCGCUUAUUUUUCCAAACAAUUCAAACCCCCCCUUUCUUGUUUUUCUCACCUUCAAAACUUACCAACUAAAAGGGAAUGCAUGCAGAAAGAUUGAAUUAUUUACAAAAUAAAAAGAUUUUUUUUUAUUAUUGCGCUCGCUUAGGUUUUGCAACCCAAUGCCUAUGCAUCAAUAAAGAAUCAUACCACCGUAGUUCUUCUCAAAAAAUUUGGUUUGUUGGUGCUUUUUAUGGGUAACCACCCUUAUUGAAAAUUUUCAUAAGAAAAGCCAAGCGGCAAAAUAAGUUUAAUUAGUUGAGUAUUUUAUUGAGAGAAUACAUCAAAUGAUCCACCCAAGGCAAAGAGAUCCUAUGGGGAACAUGUUAUCCACAAAUGGAAAAGAGAUAUAAGAAGAUGACAAUCCAUAUCAAGUCAUGGAACAAACAAACAAAAAAACACAAUACCAUAUCAAAUCAUGGAAGAACAGAUAAACAAUACCAUAUCAAGUCAUGAAGAAAAAUAAAAGACAAACAAUUCCAUAUCAAGUCAAGGAAUAGACAAAGUAAUAACAAUCCGUAUCCAUUCAUGGAGAAAAUAAAUAGCACAAAAACAGAUAAACAAUCCAUAUCAAGUCAUGGAAGAAAGAUUGAGAGAAAUCAUAUUAAGUCAUGGAAGAGAAAGUAAAAUAGUGGCAAUCCAUAUCAAGUCAUGGAGAAAAAUAAAAGACAAUAACAGAUAAAUAAUCCAUAUCAAGUCAUGGAAGAAAGAAACAUAGAAAUGUUAUUCAAUUAACAAAAGUCUCAAUAUCAAGAAUGAGUUCACAUUGGUAUUGAAUCCAUGGUAUAAGCACCCAAGUACACAAACAUCAUGCAAAGUUGUAAAGUGAAGUUAACACAAGUAUGUGAACAAUUAGAAAUGGAAAAAUACAUAGUAUGUGAAUGAUAUCAAAAGAAAAUAAAUAGGGUCAAUUCAUAUAAGAAAAACUCAAGACAUCUCAGAGGCACACUCAAAGAUUGAGGCGACUAAAUGAUCAAAAUCAAACCCUAGUCAUGCUCUUAAUGGCUAACGAAUUUCAAGCAAGUAUAUAUGAAGUAAUAUUAUGAGAAAAUGGUACCAAACCACACAAUUCAGAAGUAUAGGAUAUUCAAACUUCACAUAAAAAUCACUCAAACAUUAAGAAUGAACCAAACAAACUAUGCUCCAAGAUAGGUAAACAAUCACACAAGCUCAAAAAGCUCAGACAAGAAGUAAACAAACUAUGAAGCAAACACAUGACAUCAAGAGAUGUAUGACUUGUGCAAUAAGUUAACUCAAGAUGAGGUUCAGGAAUAACAAGGGAAGUCAUUCAAACUUCACACACAUAUUAAAGUCAAGUAACUUGGAAAAUAAUAAAGAUAUCAUCCUAGAAAAAGAAAUCAUUUAUCAAAAUGAAAUAGGAUAAGUAAGGGUAAAGAGAGGGAUGCUUAGGUGAUGGGACAUUAAAAAAGAUCUUCAAAGAAACAAAUACAACCGUCAAAUUCAAGAGGUAUAAACAAGCAAACAACCUCAAAGUUUAUGCAUAACUAGUAAGUCAAAAGGUGGGCAUCAUCCAAGUAAGGAGUCCUUUGUCCAACCAAAGUAAAUGGGAAAUACAAAAUGAAAUGGAUACAUGAAUAAAUGAAGUGAGAACAACAUAAAACCAUACAAAAAAUGGAUCCCAAUCUCCUAAGAGCUUCACCAUCUACUAAACUCAAAAUUAGGUCAAGAAAAGAAGAAUGUAGCUCUUAAUAUGUCAUCAUGAUGAAGUGGUAAUGGAAUACCAUUCAAAGAAUCAUAAGAGCAAGGUAAAAAUAUACCAAGACCAAGGAAGUUAGAAUCAAAAGAAAUGAGGAGUAAAAAACAAUUGGACCGAUAAUACUCAAGUUGGAAUGCACAAGACACCAUCUAAACUAUGAUCUCAAAGGCAAGCAAAUAGGAUUCAAGAUAAUCAAGCAAAUAUGCAUCAAUUGGAGACACCUGAAAUGGUCCAAAUGAAUGAAUUUAGGACUCAUAAUGAUGAUGAAGUAGUUAAUCAAGGAGGGGAAAUAUAUCCCACAUGGUUGCACAAGUGCAUACCAAAAUAAAUCAUCUAGGUGCAAAAUGUAUCACCAGAAAACAAGCAUGCUUGAAUAAUUAAAUAAAAAUAUUUAGAAGCAUGGAAAAAUUAUGAAAAAUUAAACAUGGAAAGAUAAAGUCAUAAACUCAAUGUGUUCCAAAGAUGUAUUUAAAAUCAUGUGCAAAUGAUGUUCAAGAAAAUCAAUCAUUCAAACAAUGCACCAUUAAUUGGUCAUCCCAAGUAAUCUUCAAAAAUAAGUUCAGAAACAAUCCAAAAUUAAUAAUCCAAACAUCAAAUGAAAACCCAAAUGACCUAUAUUCAUAUGUCUAUAUGUGUACAAAAGAUUGGAUCAAAAUUCAAAUGGGAAGAUCCAAAAUCGAACCCUAACAAAUAAAACGAGGUUAAAUAAACAUAAUUAAAUAUAAAAGUCAAAACAUAUAUUAAAAUAAAUCAAAAAUAAAAACAUGGAAAUAUGGAAAAUUAAAUAAUACUAAAAAUAUCAUUCAUGAAUUAUUUGGGAAUUUUUAGACCAAGGGAGGUAAUUUAAAUAAAAUCAAAAGAAACAAUAAUCAAAUAAUAAAAGAAAAUGGAAUGGGGGUGCAUAUAAGAAAAUGGACCAAAGGCAAUCUGUUAACAUGAACAUGGCCCAAAAUAAAGGGGUGGGGAAAGCAACGUUGCACGCAGCCCCGUCCAAUAAUAAAUCAGAAAAAUAAAAAGGAAAAUGAAAUGGAGGGUGUCAUGCUUCAUGUGGAACCUUCCCUUAAUCGGUCACCCAACUCACUUAAAUGCUGGAAGACAAAACCAAACCAUGGCCAAUCAAAACACGCCAUGCACUCAUCUUCAACCUUGUCCAUGCACCACAACGAGUUUACAAACCCUAAAACCCGAUUUCAACAUGCCACCUUCUUUCUCACACAACUUCCUCAUCUCUCAACCAAAUCACACGAAGUUUGAAUAAAAAAUAUAGUACACAAAUGGUAGAACAUCAUGGCAUACUUAGUUUUUAAAAAUGGACAAAGGAGCAUGGAGAUGAAUGAGCAUGAACAUACAGGUUCAAACAAAAUCAAACAUCAUUCAAACAAAGUUAUACAAGGACAAAGGAGCAUGGAGAUGAAUGAGCAUGAACAUACAGGUUCAAACAAAAUCAAACAUCAUUCAAACAAAGUUAUACAUGAAAUUAUGAGUCUAGCUCCAUGAUCCAUUCCAAGAGUGGAUCUUCUAGAUGCAGAUGAAUGAGCUUAAGCAUGGUGAAUGGCUAGCAUGAAGAAGCAUAAAGUGAGGGAGACUUACCUAGUGGAGAAUGCCCACUGCACCUUGGAUUCUUGGAGAAAGAAGAUGAACAAGACCAGUAGGAAGAUGAUGAGCAGUGGUGAGCCAGGUAAAAGCUCAAAUGUAGCUUCAAUAAUGGAGAAAAAGUAGAGAAAAUGAAAAGGGUUCAGAUUUCCUAUACUUAUGUUCAGCCUCCAACCAACGUCCUCCUCUAGGUUUAGAGAGUAAAAAACCUUUUAUAUGAGCCCCAAGUGAGGGCAGAAGAGUCAACACACUUGGCCAAAGUUGAUAUCCCAAUUUUAGACAAAAUUAGAAUGAGAGUGAGGUGUGCAUUUUGCGUUUUAGAUGUGUUUUAGGUGUGCGGUGUGUCGUUUCAGGUUGUUGGAAUGGAGUGGAGAUAACCCAGAACUCUUGGGGACUUGGAGAGAGUGGAAAGAGAAGGAAAGGCAAAUUGGAAUAUAUCUAUAUUUGGCCCAAUUGAGGUAGCAUGUACAAGCAUGCAAAAGGUGUGUUGCUUGGUCAUAAAAAGCAUGGAAAGAAGGGUGGCAUGCGUGUGGGAAAGUUAUGCUACAAGUAAGAGCCAAAACAAUACCUAAACUCAAUGACAUUCAUAAUGUUGGGAAUUAAGGAUCAUUGAUGUUCAAGCCAACAUAACUUUAUGGUUCCUUGGCCAAAUGAGGGAAACUAGGGCUUUUUGGAAAGAAGGAAGGGAGAUGAACAAGUUUUAUGUUGGAAGAAAAAUGAAACAAAGCCUUGAAAUCCCUUAAAAAUGGCCACGAAAACAUUUGCUUGAAACUGCAUGCAUUCAUGCAAAUUAUAGGUCAAUUGGAAAUUGUGAGAUCCUAACUUGACAGCUUAAUAACUUGCUCAUCAAGCCACUAAAUGAAAAACUUUUUGAAGCAAAAAUAGAGGGGGGAAAUAGAGGGGGGAAUAUGAUCUAUAACUUUCAUGUUGAAGUCAAUUUAAAAUGAAACUUGCAUCUAGGUGGAAAAUGGCCAUCAAGAUGGUUGCUUGAAAUUGACCAAACACUUAGCAAAAUUUCACUAUCUUGUUGCAAGAACGCCAUGUUCUCCAAACCUUCAACUCAACUAAUUUCGAACGCAAGUCGCUUGAACCCUAAGCUUUCUUCACAAUCCUUCGAUUACCAUUACUUGUUUGACCGAACCUUCCGUUCUUCAAACUUUUCACUCAGCUGAAUCUGUGAAGCAAAGGUUAGUGUAAAAACCCUCAAUUCUUGAAGGAUAAAACCUCAAUGGUUUUAUUCAAGAAAAACCUACACAAAGUCUCAACCCAAACUAAGAUAAUCCAAUCUUAUUUGGACGUUAUCACAACAGUAAUGCACAAUGCUCAACAAAGAUUAUUAUGUGUGAUUAUUGAGAAAUGCAAUGCAAAAUGAAGAUGUUCUUGUGAAACCACAUAUAGAAAGUGAAAUCUUGUUAUUUUGUCGAAGAAGAGACACUUGAAUAUUUAUAUGAUGCAUGGACCAAAUAAAAACCAUAACAGAAAUAUUUUGCAAAGUUACACAUCAUAAAAUUAAGUAAAACAGGCGAUGAGUCGACUCAAACAGAGUUUUUCAAGGGUUGAGUCGACCUAUAACUCGACCUAUUCAGACCCGUGAUUACAUGGUUCAAAAUAAAAUAGGCAUUGAAUGGACGCAACAUGUGGAUGAGUCGACUCAUUCAAUUUUCCCAGGAUUGAGUCGACCUGUGACUCGACCUGUUCAGACCCGAGAGUUACGCUCUGAGUCAUUGAGUCGGCCUGUGACUCAACCUGUUCAGACCCGAGAAUUAUGCUCCGAAUCAUGAGUCGACUCAUAGUUCUUAAACUCCCAAAAAUGAGUUUUGAGAUGUGUUUUGACCAAAUUAAACCAAUCUCUUAUGAACCUAGGAUAUUAACGAUUAUCAAGUGCAUGAUUCACCUCUAUGAUAUGCUCCCAUAUGCCUGGACAUGCUGAACUUAUAUUUUGAACAUGUUAGAGGAUGGAUGCAUUCUAUAAUAUGAUGAUAUUGUCCAAGGUACAUGUUAUGGGCGAUUAGAAAGGUUUGACAUCAUUAAAAUAAGGACUAGGCAUAUUUGCCCUACUAUAAUAUGAUGAUAUUGUCCAAGGUACAUGUUAUGGGCGAUUAGAAAGGUUUGACAUCAUUAAAAUAAGGACUAGGCAUAUUUGCCCUCACAAAUUUUUGAUGAGAAACCAGCAGCCUGACACGGUCUCCCGUGUCAGCUGACACGUGCCAUGUCAAGACCAUGACAAAAGCCUUCAAAUUGAGAAUUGCAGGCGCUUGAAACGGCCGACCGUGGUGCUUUAUACAACCCGUGUCAGGAGCACUGAAGAAAAGGGUGAAAAUUAACAUUGGCAGAAGCCUGACACGGCCCGUGUCAGGACCACUGAAAACCACGCCCCGAAGAUGUUAAGUUACAUCAUCCUGACACGGCCGCCCAUGUCAGGCCUAUGGAUUUGAAAAUUUGAAAAUUUAUUGUAUAUUGUAUGGGCCCCACCCCUUAUUAAAACCCAAUAACCACUCAUUACACCCACUUAACACUUCCCAAAAAUAUGAUUUCAUUCAUUCUCCACUCAUUAUCUCUCACAAACUUCAUCUUCUCCACCAUCUCUCUCUCCAAAAACGUAAUCUUCCAUUAACCCCUCCCCCCCACACACACACACACAAAAAAAAAGCUUCCACCUUUACCACCAUAACAACCCCAAGUCACAAACUCCCUUCAUGAAUCCUUCUUCAUUUUUCGCCCUAAUCACACCCACAAUGUCUGUUUUCUCUAAUUCCAAUUUCGAAUUUAUCUUAAUUUUUGCAGAUACGAAAAUUCCCCUAUGGAGGAUUGUUCAAGGGUAGCAAAAAAUGGCCGAGAUCUCGUGGCCACAAAAGAGGAGCAGCCGUAAUCUGAACCCGCACAAUAUUGUCUUCGACAAUCCAGAGCAGGAGCAACAAUACUCCAUUCAUAGAAAGUGUAAGUUAACCCCACCAGGUACAUAUGCAAACAAACCCUUCAUGAUUUAGGCUUAAAGAGUGAAAUUUAUAGGAUAUUCCAUGUGUUAGGUAUGUUAGAAUUCAUGAGUCUCGAAGCGCCUACUUAUGAGCGCAUCACACUUGAAUUUUUUAGCACACUUGAAUUCCAUCUAGAGAAGCAGUGGAUUAACAUGACGAGGUACUGCUAUGGUACUCUUCGAUUUCGUCUUUUUAAUAAUUAUCAUGAGCUAUUUGUUGAGGAGUUGGCUGAUAUUCUCCGACUCCCACUGUACGGACCUGGUGCGGUCCCUAAAGGGUUGAUCCACAAGAUUUCUGGACUGCAAUUACUGGGAGGACUAAUUACACCUCCAAAGGUGCAAAAGCCUCUGGCAUCCAGAACCUGUGCUUCCUCUAUCCCCAAAAAGGUCUGGCGUAUACUAUGUUUGGACGGGGUGAUAGUACGGACGUGGCAACUCAACGGGAGUUGUUCUUCCUAUACUCAAUGGCACAUAAUUAGGCCAUCAAUGUUGCUGCCUUUGCAUCUAAUUACUUGGGGAGAGUUGGUCGGGCAGACACAGGUGGUAAUUUUGUUGGGGGUAUGAUUACCCAGAUUGCUAAACAUUUUGGUUAUCGUACGGUUUUGCUUAAAGAGACUACGGUGGCAGGUAAGACAACUUUUGAUAUGGCAACUCUCAUCCAAUAAGGUAUGAUUUCUAUUACACAUGAUUACUACUCUAUUAUGAUCCAUAAAAGGUUUAUCAUUUCACUACCUAAUCCUAACAGAGUAAGUGUUGCUGAUUGUGCUAAUUGGUUGUAUGUGAGUGCUGAUCCUGAUGCAGAGGAAGGCUACGAUGCUGAAAAUAUGGUUGCAGGUGAACAAAUGAAUGAAGACGAGCAGCAUCAGAAGCCGUUUAUACCCCCUGACCCAAGAGCCAACCAAGAAGGGAGCUGGGUCAUCAUCCAUGAAUUACGACCAGUGGGCACGGGUAAAAACCGAGCUCGGUGACCUUAAAACUAAGCAAUCAAGACAAGGCAUCGAGGAGGCCCAGUAAGGGGAAGUUUUGGAUGAGAUGAACCUGAUGAUCCGACAGUUGAUGUUGCACUUUCCGCACCAGCCUCCUCAGUAGGGCACUGUGAGUCACACUUCUUCUAUCUUGUUCUAAAACAUUAAGGUCAAUGUUUAGUUCAAGUAUGAGAGAGGUUUAAUUAUGCUUUUUGUUUUUAUGUUUUUUUUUAUUUCACAUUUUGUGUACUGUUUUACAUUUGGUUUGUCCGUUACUGUUGGGUAUCAUUUGUUGCAUGUAUUUCAGGUUCUUGUUGUUAUUGUUGGAUUAGAUGAUGACCAUUAGUGGUAGUGGAUGAAAUGAUCACUCCAUUUACUGUUGCUUGUUGUGAAUGAUCUUCCCAAAAAGUUGAUACUGCUAAAGGAAAGGAUUGGAUGCAACUGUCUCAAGCUCGACUAACAUAGGUUCCCUAUCAUUCUGAGCUAAGUAAGAAGACGCAUCAUACUAGAAGUACUGUGGAUUCUGUCAAACUUUACCUAACAUGGUGAGUGCAUAAAAAGCCAAACACAUUUGUCAUCAUGAACUAUAUUCAGGUAUGUCUUUAUCACACUGAGUUUGCGUAAUUUCUCUUGGAAUAUCACUGCAUAUAUAUACACACUGAGGCAUAUUGUUUAAGUAAUAUCCCUGAGCCUUUCUAGUGAUCCCUUUAAUAUUAUCCCUCGUUAACCCCGUUUGAGCCUGUACCCUUUGUUUGUAUAUAUAACCACAUGAAUGUAACUCGCGGCCCAAACACUUCCUUACCCUGUUCAGAGAAAAUGUUAUAUUCUUUAAGCUGUGUUAAAUUCUAAGUUUGGGGUAACCCCAUAAGUAUCUGAAAGUAAGGUGAGUCCGAAAAAAGAUUGAGAAAAACGAUCAUCGAAAAAAAAUGAAAAAAAAAGAAAAAAAAGAAAAAAAAAAGAAAUUCGAUGGAACAAGAAAAGCACUCACCGAAUGAGAAACACUCAGUUGGGUAUAAAUAAAUCAAAGAAAAAAAAGAGAACUGAGUAACAAACUAGAAAAAGAAAAGAAUGGGAAAUGAUAUGUUAGAACAAACACAGUGAAAAGAAUAAUGACAUUGACUCUGAACCCAAAAAAAUUUGUUUGUAUUUACCCCAUCGUAGCCCAAGCCCUGUUAUAACCCGAAAGACCUCAAAAAAUGUGUGUUGUGUGUAGUUGAUACGAAAGGAAAAGCUAUUCAAAUUUAGGAGUCAAUAUUGCAUAUUCUAAAAUGUGAGUGUAAACACUUUAACCCGGAGAAAAUUGGUGAGAGUGUGAUAUAAGCUGAAAGGUGAAGUAGUACGUCAAUAUGGAAGUGCGGCGAAAAACCAAUGAGGAAAAGCAGGGACUAUAAAAGGGAGCAUGAAGGUGUGUGGAGAAAGAUCUCAGCAGUAUUGUGGUAAGAAAAAUUCAGUUUUAGGAAGUGACACACUUUGUCGUUUAGAACAUUACAUGAGGACAAACAAUGAACUAAGUUUGAGGUUGUGAUCGGUCAUCAUUUCUACUGUAUUUUCAUUACUUAUUCGAUAAGAAACCAAGGAUUUUAGAAUACUUUAUUCGCAUUAUGUUACCUUUUAAGUUAGUUUUCAUUUCUGUAAGUUAAUUAAGUGUUUUAUCAAUUUUUAGUUUUAUUUUGUGUUUUCGGGAUUUUAUGUUUUGGUUGUCUGUUUUUAUUCCCUCCAGGUCCAAGUAGAAGAUCCAACGGACUCAAUGCAAGAAAGUCGAGAAUUCCAGUGUUCGAGGAAAGAAGUUAUGAAGUUUCAAGAAGCCUGACACGGCCACCAAUGUCACCUGACACGAGCCGUGUCAGGAUGGGGACCUAAUGAAGCUAAAGAGGAAGGCCUAGGCAGGGGCCUGACACGACCACUUGUGUCAGCCUACCUGGGAUGAAGCUGAAGAUGAGGACCAAGGAGGGGCCUGACACGGCCACCCAUGUCAGCCCAAGGGCAAAAUAUUCCAAUUUUUGGGCUUUUACCCGGACUAGAGCAACAAGGACGUUCUGGGGAUUUCCAACUAUUGCCAAGGGAUUUUACUAUUUUAGAAGAGUUUCUACGAGAGAUAAAGGACACUUUUUAGAGCAAGGAGAAAAUAGAGCACAGAGAAUUGUCAGACGAUCGAGAAUUAUAGAGAUCAAGGAAUUUGGAGAGCGGAAGAUUUUCAUGAGCUGAAGCAAUUGAAGAUCCAAGUCAUCCAAUUACUUGUAAUGUGUAAUUUUUAUCUUCAAUCUAUUUUUAACAAUAUGAGUAGCUAAACCCCCUAAUGCUAGGGGGUGUCCCUAAUUUAGAUCUGUAAUGACUUUGAGUUUGCGAUUGCAUUGAUAAUAUUGUUUUUCAUAAUUACGAUAAUCUUUUGAUGUGUUUAAUGGUUUCUCUUUCGAACCAAUUUAGAUUGUUGUAUGGUUAUCAAUUAUGCUUGACCGCCAUUGAUAAGUUUUUCAUAAAAUUACUCUGCAGUAGAUAUCACCUAGGACUAGGGAUACCUUGUAUGAACCAGAUGAGUCUUGAUAUAAUAAGGUUUAAUUUCACCGGUAAUUUCCUAUGGACAGAGAAAUUAGGGUUGGAUGAUUAAAGGUUUUCUCACCAAGACCUUGGGAGAAAAUACCCUUGAGAACUGGUAGUAGUUAAUUGAUAUUUGUUGAUGCAAUAGUGACUCAGAGUUGUUACAGGGACAAAUUAUACACCUUCCCUGGCAUGUUCCUUUUUCCUUGAAACCCUUAUUUUUACAGUGUUUAUUUUAUUUUCCAUUAUUUUUAUAAGUUUAAAUUAAAAAACCUCAACACUAGUUUUUGUUUAAUUGAACGAUGAUUUGAACUCGAUAUUAUCGCGCAGUCCUUGAGAUUGGAAUUCGAGGAAUUUCCCCUUUAUUACUACAAAAGGCAAAGUAGUACACUUGCUAUUUUUCCGAUCAAGAAUCAUUUGUGUUAUUUACUUUUAGCAGUGCAUUUUAACAUCCUUAUUAUUAUUUUUGUCUGAAGUUCUGAUAUUAGUGUUGUGAUAUUGCAUACAACAUCUGAUAUAUGAAUACUAGAAUUUCAAUUACUUUUGGAGCUAAUUCUUGUCUUAUGACCAUCUCCCCCAAAUUUAGACAAACAAUCUUACCAUAUUUUGUAUUGCCUUGAAUGUUGAUAAGUGUUCCAAUCAAACUAUCACACAUAUUUUUCUCCACAUGCAUCAUAUUAAGAUAAUCUCUUACAUUAAGGCUUGAUCAAUAAGGAAGAUCAAAGAACACUUACCUCUUUUUCCAUAUAUUUUCUCCACAAGCCCUUUUUGGUUAUUUCCAAAGACAACAUUAAUGUGAUUUUGUCAUUUAUAAACUUCCUCCUCAGUUAAGUUCUUUGUAGCAAUACCAAACUAUUAUUCAUCAUUAAAGGUCUUUUGCAAUCUACAAUAUGGAUGGUUGUGUCAUAGAAAACUUUGAUGCCAAAGGUAAAUAUUCUCUUUUCCAUUCUUUAUUUGGUGGAAGCAUAUAUUAGCUUCACAUAUAGGACAUUCUUUAUGUCCCUUAAUGUUGUACCCAACACUACUACAAAUAACACAUGUCCUAUUGGACGCGAAAUGGAAUUCACCUAAGUUACAAUGCCAAGGUAACAAAGGGUGACAUGAAAAGUGGGAACUUUACCCCUCGGUUUAAAAAUAAUCGAGGGGUUAUUUAAACAUUCUCUUUUCCAUUAUUUAAUCAGGAUACAACUCAUAAUCCUCACACAUGUGGAGGAACUUGUUCACGCGAUUUCAGUCCCCCUUUCUCACUUUAUAAAUAAAAACAUCCCUAAUCAUUUGAGAGGAAAGAAACAAUAACAUUGAAUCACUGUUAAAACCAUUCCCCACCUUACUCUGAGCUCAAGAAAAAAAAUCAAAACAUUAUCAUAGCCUCAUGUUAAAGCUCUGAUCAAGGCGAGCUUAGCUUAGCAAAAUACAAUAACACAACCUAUAAAGAAGCGCGAUGCACAAAAGAAGAAGAAGAGUACCAAGAGACAAAAAAUUUACCUGAAGACAGAUCAGAGUUGAAUUCUUUGCAAAUUGUGGGUAGUCCUCUUUCACCUUUACUUUUAUUAUGCAUUUCACUUUGCUUUGUUGCUUUGCCAUGAAUGUAGCUUGUAAAUUGCAUGAUUUAAUCGAUUGUUGUAGCCGAAUCUCUAAUGAAAAAGGGGUUUUGGGGUUAUUGGGAUGAGGAAUUAGGUUUGUGGUUUUUGAUAUUAUGUGUUUACUCCGUUUUACUCUGUUGUUGCAAUUGUUGUCAGCAUGAUUCAUGCUUCCGUUAUGCUUGUUUUUGUGGAGUUUAAUCUGUUAGAUGAGGGCGAUGUAUGUUGUGAAAUCAUGAUUAAGGUGUUGAUUUCAUUGAGAUGAAGUUUGUAGUGGCACUUUUAGGUUUAUUUUGGCAAAAAAAUUGUCUGGUUUAGGAAGAGUUUGAGAACACUUGAAAGAGAUGAGGCGGGGGAAUUAGGUUUUGAAAAUGGAAGGGGAAACCGGAUUCUGGGGUUUUAUGACAAGGGUUUGGCCCAACCCGACUUCAUAUUUGCUUGGCCCAAAUUGAUUCAUCAUGUUGGGUUUUUUAUUUCUUCUAAUUUUUUUUGCUAUGGCAUUACCCCUUUUGUAAUAUACCCCGUUGGCCCAUCAUUGUUUUGUUUUACUAUUUAUAUUCUUGGUUUAUUGUUUGCACCUAUUAUUAUGAAAGUGAAUUACAAAUAUAUUAAACACUUUCAAAAAAAAAAAGAAAAAAAAAUUAGAGUUUUUAUCAUAUUCAAUUCUUUUUUUCCUUUUAUUUGUUCUUUUUUCUUUAUCAUAAAGGAAAUACAAAAAUAUUAAAUACUGUUAGAUGGAUGAUUUAGAUUUCCCUUACCAAAUAAAGUUUCAAAACUACUUAGAAAUAAUUUUGACUCUUUGUUUGCUUGACUUGUUUAGUCUUUGGUGUUUGUGUAAAUACUUGCUUGUGUGUUUAUCCAUGAUUUAUUUAGUCUUGUAUUUUUCAUAAUUCAUUCAAACGUAAAUCAAAUGUUUGACCCAACAUCAAGCACUUUUCAUAAUCAAACUAAAAAGCAUUUACUCCAUACUUUGACCUUUUCAUAAUAAAUAGAGAAAAUGGCUACCUGGGUGAAAGAUCCAGUCAUAGCUCCGAUGUAUUAGGCCCAAGUAGUAAUUGCUUGCAAGUCAUAAAUACUUUGUCCUUCUCUAAAAAUACAAACACGUCACAACUUCAUAAUAAAUCAAAAGAAAAAGGCUACAUGGGUGAAAGGUCCAGUAAUAGUCCCAAACACCAAGCCCGAGUAGUAAUUGCUUGCAAGGUCAAGUGUUUAUCUUUCAUUAAAAAUACUUAUAACUACUCAAACACUUUCACAACAAAUUAAAAAGAAAAAGACUACCUGGAUGAAAGUUCCAGUCAUAAUCCUGACUAUUAGAACCAAGUAGUAAUUGCUUGCAAGUCAUGAAUAUUCGUCUUCCAAACCCUAAAACACACUUAAACAAAUAAAACCUAUCUUUUCUCGCCCCGUGCGAUCGAAACCCUUUUCAGAAAGAACAUUGUUUAGUCUGUUCUAAUGCGAAUGCAAACUAGAGCUUAAGCCUCCACCACGAGUAGACAAGCCAACAUUUAACCGUUAGAGCGCAAUCUAAACAAACCAACCAACAAAAACGUAGCCUUUCCCGAACUAAGAAGCUUUGAGUUCCUCAUUGUACCCGAGGAUACGUAGGAGCGAGAUCUUCAAUCUCAUUAAGCACCCUAUUAAAAAAAUUGAGACCCCUUUUCUUUUUUAUUUUGUACAUUUUAUCAUUCGAAGAAAACAAUUAACGAUGGCUAACAUUCAAUCGCAAAUCUAACUAAAAGGUUCUCGUUGAAUACAACAGACAUGAUGAGUGUUAAUGCUUUUCCCUUGCGUAAUCGACUCCCGAACCUGAAUAUGGUUGUCGUGACCAUUUUCUUUCUUAAAGGUUUUAUCAAUAUUUUCCCUUUCCUUCAUUGGAAUAAAUAAAUUUAUGUGGCGACUUUGUUCAAAUCAUUUUUUUCGCGACCAUCGCAAAGGAUUAUAAUUUUUGAGAUGCAACUAAGACAACAUGAGAAUCAUCAAAAUAGACGGAUAACACAUGCAUCUCCCAAUGUAGGGUGCCUAGUCACCCAUUCAUCAUAAUACACACCCAUUAUCUCUAUAAUUCGUCCUUUGAUUAAUCACUCGUCUUAUGGGUGGAUCGGACUCUGAAGGUGGUUCAAGCUAUGAAGGUGGAGCUUCUAAAGGUGAUCGUUCUUAUGAAGGGUUUUAAAGGCCAUAAAGAGUUAGACAGAUACCAAGGAGAUUUGCAGAUUUUGGAGUUGCUGCAAGUUGCUGAGAUUGAUUCUGAAGGAGAGGUCAUACAGAGUGCCAUGAUAGUGGAGUAUAAGCCUAUCAUAAUCAUUGAGGCUCUCAAGAAGAAGGUGUAGGUGAACUCCAUUAAGGAAGAGCUUGAGGCCAUUGAAAGAAACAAGACAUGGAAAUUGAUUGUUCUACCUCAGAACAAGAAAGUCAUCAAUGUGAUAUGGGUUUUCAAGAUAAAAUUGAAGCCAGAUGGUUCAGUUGCUAAGUAUAAAUCAAGGUUAUUAGCUAGAGGAUUCCUACAAAAUUCUAGUUUAUACUAUUUUGAAGUGUUUGCACCUAUAGUCAGACAUGAAACCAUAAGGUUGGUUAUUGCUAUAGUUGCAAAUAGGAAUUAGCCUAUAAUACACUUAGAUGUAAAUUUAGAUUUUCUAAAUGGUCCAUUGCAAGAAUAAGUUUAUGUGUUACAACCUCCUGAAUUUGUGAAAGAGAACAAAGAAGGGAUGAUGUAUAAGCACAUAAAGCUUUGUACGGGCUGAAACAAGUUUCAAGGGCUUGGAAUCUAAAGAUUGAUUCAUUUUUCAAGCAUCUAGGAUCCAAGAAAUGUGAAAUGGAAUUAAUAUAAUGUGUAUGUGCAGCAUACUUCUGAAAGUAAUAUGAUUCAGACGUUUCUUUAUGUGGAUGACAUACUUUUGACAGAGAGUUGUAUUUCUGAGAUAAACAAGUUCAAGAAGGUGCUGAUGAAUGCAUUUAGUAUGAAUGGCCUUAGAAAUAUGAUAUAUUUUCUAGGGAUGGAGAUUUUACAUUUUGAGAAGGGAAUUAUUGUGCAUCAACUGAAGUAUGAACUUGAUUUGCUGACGCGAUUUGAGUUGAUGAAUUGUAAGUCAACAGUCAACCCUAAUGAGACAAAUCAUAAACUGGACUCUGGUGAUGAUGGUGAGAAUGUAGAUGCUACAACAUUCAAACAGUUAGUUGGUUUUUUUAGAUAUCUGUCUAAAACCAGGCUUAACAUAUGUUAUACAGUUGAAAUGGUGAGUAAGUUUAUGAGUAAAGCAAAGUGGUCAUAUUACCAAGCUGUAGUCAGAAUUCUGAGAUAUGUAAAAGAAUCUUUGAGGCAUGAAAUUUUGUUUCAUCUGGAGAAUCAGAUAAUGUUGAUCUGAUAUGCUACUCAGACUCUGACUGGUGUGGUGACAAAAUGAACAAAAGAAACACUACAUGAUACACGUUUAUGUAUCUAGGGGCUCCUAUUUUUUGGUGUUACAAGAAGCAAUCAGUUGUUGCAUUGUCAAUUUGUGAAGCUAAAUAUAUAGCUGGUGUUUUGUCAAUCUACCAUAAAUCUUGCUAAGAAUUCAAUGUUGCAUGGAAGAAUACAAUCAGAUUCAUAAUGAAAUAUUUGAGGUUGUUCAUAUCAACACUCAUGGGCAACUUCCAGAUGUGCUGACCAAGACAAUCAAAAUUGAACACUUUAUUAAUUUAAAAGAUAAAAUUGAUGUUGUUGAUAGUUAAACUUAAAUGGGAAUUGUUCAAGUUAUUUUAGUUUUGAAUUUCAUUUGCUUUUAAAUUUCAUAUGUGAAUUUGAUUGUUUGUAUAAACUCAAAUUUAAUUAUAUUUAUAAUAGAUUUUAGUUUUGCAAUUUCGAGCAAUUUUAAGAUUAGAAAAUUUAUUUUUUUCAAUUCUCUGCUCCACCACUGUUGUUCAUCUUCUUGUAUAUUAAUUAAUAGAAAUUCAGUGUUAACUCUAACCAAAACUGGAAAAGAAAUAUGAAAGACAAAAUUUCUCUUAAAGAAAAUAGUGUAUUCUCUGCCACCACUGUUCUUCAUCUUCUUGUAUAUUAUUAAUUCUAACCCAAACCGGUGUGAUUAUGAAAAGAAAUAUGAAAGACAAAAUUUCUCUUAAAAGAAAUUGGCCUUUGAAAAAAAGAUAGUGUGAUGUAUUUAUCUUCAUUAUCAUAAAAGUUAUUAUCAAUAGAGUAAUAUUAUUUCUACAUCAAUUUUUUACACUAAUAUUUAUAUCAAAUAUUAUUCACCAUACAAUAGUAUUUUUUUAAAUAAAAUAAUAUUAAACUUAUUUUAAAUUAAAAAUAUUUUUUAAAAUUAAUUUUAUAAUAUAAUAUUUAUCAUUAAUCAAUUUUAAUAAAAAUACAUGUUAUUAAUUGCAUAUUUUCUGAUAACUUAUUAAUCAAUUUCAUUAUUUUAUUAAUUAAUAAAAUAUUUAAUAUUAAUCAAAUUCUAAUAUUAGUUUAUUAUUUAAUUAAUGAAUUUUAAAAAUUAGAAAAAAUAAAUAAUAAAAUAAAUUGGUUAAUAUUAUACAAUUUUAUAAACUAGUAACUACAUAAUAUUAAGCAAUUUUAUUUAGUAUUUAUUAUUUUUAAAUUUUCAAAAUUUAUUAAUCAAAUUAUAAAUUAAUGUUACAACUGGAUUAAUACUAUGUAUUUUAUUGGUUAAAGAAAUAAUAAAAUUAAUUAAUAAAUUAUUUAGAAAAUAUAUGGUUAAUAAUAUAUAUUUUUAUGGUUAAUAAAAUAAUAAAAUUGAUUAAUAAUAAAUGUUAUGUUUUUAUUACAAAAUUAAUUUUUUUUUAAUAUAUUUUUAGAAAUAAAAUUUUAAUAUUAUUAUUUGAUGUAGAUAUUGGGGUAGAAAAUGGAGUGUAGGAAUAACCUUACUCUUAUCAAUAUACACGGUGAUCGGUCCUGAAUCAAGGAAAAGUAAUACAAUAUCUCUCGUAUAGAGGAGGAAACAUAUAAGCUUAUAGAGGAGGAAACAUAUAAGCUUAUUGAAACACUACUUUUAUUUUCUAUAUACUAUAUGAUUACACGUACGUACACACACAAAAUCAUAGUCAUCAUCAUGUACAUACACGAGUGACCAAUCACAAUAUAGAGGAGGAAACAUAUAAGCUUAUUGAAACACUACUUUUAUUUUCUAUAUACUAUAUGAUUACACGUACGUACACACACAAAAUCAUAGUCAUCAUCAUGUACAUACACGAGUGACCAAUCACAUAAACAAAUAAUGACUAAUAAAUAAAUCGAAUUCCUAACCGCCUAAAGCAAGAAUUCAAUAAAAUAAAAUAAAAAUAUUUAUAGACAGACACGUCUAAGCUAAAACCAUGGAGACGAAUAUUCCAGCAAGAGAAGUAAUGGCAACAAAGGUAUUUGUGAUAGAGAAUGCAGCUGAGGGUGCCUCAGCUUCUCCUGGGUUUGAUGCUGGGCCAUUUGUUCCUGGUGCUGGUGGAGAAGAAGUGUUUGGAAUUGGUGAUGAAGGAGAUGGUGAUGGAGAAGAAGUAGUUGUAGGAGAGGGUGCUGGAGAAGUCUUUGUGGAGGGUGAUGGAGCAGGUGCUGAAUUGGGUGAUAAUGAUCGGGUAGGUGCGGGUGCAGGAGCCUGUUGUGCUAUGCAUGAAGUAGCCAACAACCCCAAUAUCACAAACACUUUGAUUGCAACAGAACCCAUGUUUUUAUAUGUUUUUUUGAUAGAGAAGAAUGUUUAGUGAAAUAUGAUUGAAUCAAUUAUAGAGAAGAAUGGACUAAGGUUAUUGAUUUGUGUUGUCCAAAAUAUAUAGUGAAAAAUAAAUAUGAUACUGGUGGUGUGUAUUUCAGCAAAGGCGGUUUGUGAUUAAUAAUGCUCUAUGAACAAGUAAUCAUUAAAAAGGUACUGAGAUCACUUAAUCCUCAGUUUGAUUACAUAGUUGUAACCAUAUAACACUUUAAAGAUACCAACAUCAUAAGAAUUGAAGAGCUUCAGAGUAGUUUGAAGGCACAAGAGUUGCGUAUGACUGAAAGAAACUCUGAACAAGUUAGAACAUGCUCUGAAAUCUCAGACUCUAAAAGCUUCUUAUGGAAAGAAGAACCAGAAGCAAACAUGGUUAGAGAAUAAGAAGAAUCUGCCUAAGAAAUUGUGGGGUGAUGAAAUUUCUACUUCAGUAUAUGUGCUCAAUAGAUGUCCAAUAAAGAAGUUAAAGGAAAUAGUUUUUAUUGAGAAGUGAACUGGAAGAAAGCAAAGUGUUAGCCAUUUUAAGGUAUUUGGUUCAAUAUGUUACACACAUAUACCAGAUGCUACUAGAAGGAAGUUGGAUGACAAAAACAAGGUUAUGUUGCUUAUAGUUUACCAUAGUACAUGUACUUAUAAGCUCAAUUGCCAAGUCACCAACAAAGUUGAAGUCAAUAGAGAUGUCAUAGUCAAAUAAUCAUAAACAUGGGAUUGGAGCAAGUCUCAAUCCAACUAUAGUGUAGUGUCAUCGCUAGAGUCUGAUUCUUCCUCUGAAGGAGAUUCUGUCUCUGAAGGUGAUUCUAAGAUGACUUUAAAUCUGAAAGUGAGUUUGGCUCUGCAGAUGACUUUGACUUUGAAGGUGACUCUGAUGGUGGAUCGGACUCUGAAGGUGGUUCAAGCUAUGAAGGUGGAGCUUCUAAAGGUGAUCGUUCUUAUGAAGGGUUUCAGAGGCCAUAAAGAGUUAGACAGAUACCAAGGAGAUUUGCAGAUUUUGGAGUUGCUGCAAUUUGUUGAGAUUGAUUUUGAAGGAGAGGUCAUACAGAGUGCUAUGAUAGUGGAGUAUAGGCCUAUCAUAAUCAUUGAGGCUCUCAAGAAGAAGGUGUAGGUGAACGCCAUUAAGGAAGAGCUUGAGGCCAUUGAAAGAAACAAGACAUGAAAAUUGAUUGUUCUACCUCAGAACAAGAAAGUCAUCAAUGUGAUAUGAGUUUUCAAGAUAAAAUUGAAGCCAGGUGGUUCAGCUGCUAAGUAUAAAUCAAGGUUAUUAGCUAGAGGAUUCCUACAAAGUUCUAGUUUAUACUAUUUUAAGUGUUUGCACCUGUAGUCAGACAUGAAAUCAUAAGGUUGGUUAUUGCUGUAGUUGCAAAUAGGAAUUAGCCUAUAAUACACUUAGAUGGUAAUUUAGAUUUUCUAAAUGGUCCAUUGCAAGAAGAAGUUUAUGUGUUACAACCUCCUAAAUUUGUGAAAGAGAACAAAGAAGGGAUGGUGUAUAAGCACAUAAAGCUUUAUACGGGCUGAAACAAGUUCCAAGGGCUUGGAAUCUAAAGAUUGAUUCAUUUUUCAAGCAUCUAGGAUCCAAGAAAUGUGAAAUGGAAUAUAAUGUGUAUGUGCAACAUACUUAUGAAAGUAAUAUGAUUCUGACGUUUCUUUAUGUGGAUGACAUAUUUUUGACAGAGAGUUGUAAUUCUGAGAUAAACAAGUUUAAGAAGGUGCUGAUGAAUGCAUUUAGUAUGACUGGCCUUAGAAAUAUGAUAUAUUUUCUAGGGAUGGAGAUUUUGCAUUCUGAGAAGGGAAUUAUUGUGCGUCAACUGAAGUAUGAACUUGAGUUGCUGACGCGAUUUGAGUUGAUGAAUUGUAAGUCAACAGUCAACCCUGAUGAGACAAAUCAUAAGUUGGACUAUGAUGAUGAUGGUGAGAAUGUAGAUGCUACAACAUUCAAACAGUUAGUUGGUUUUUUGAGAUAUCUGUCUAACACCAGGCUUAACAUAUGUUAUACAUUUAAAAUGGUGAGUAAGUUUAUGAGUAAAGCAAAGUGGUCAUAUUAUCAGGCUGUAGUCAGAAUUCUGAGAUAUGUAAAAGAAACUCUGAGGCAUAAAAUUUUGUUUCAUCUAGAGAAUCAGAUAAUGUUGAUCUGAUAUGCUACUCAGACUCUGACUGGUGUGGUGACAAAAUGGACAAAAGAAAAACUACAUGAUACACGUUUAUGUAUUUAGGGACUCCUAUUUCUUGGUGUUACAGGAAGCAAUCAGCUGUUACAUUGUCAAUUUGUGAAGCUAAAUAUAUAGUUGGUGCUUUGUCAAUCUAUCAUAAAUCUUACUAAGAAUCCAGUGUUGCAUGGAAGAAGCAAACACAUUGAUAUCAUUUUCUACACAACCAGGUUGAUAAUGAAAUAUUUGAGAUUGUUCAUAUCAACACUCAUGAGCAACUUACAGAUGUGCUGACCAAGACGAUCAAAACCGAACAUUUUAUUAAUUUAAAGGAUAAAAUUGAUGUUGUUGAUAGUUAAACUUAAAUGGGAAUUGUUCAAGUUAUUUUUGAAUUUCAUUUGCUUUUAAAUUUCAUAUGAAUUUGAGUUGAAUUUGAUUGUUUGUAUAAACUCAAAUUUAAUUAUAUUUAUAACAGAUUUUAGUUUUGCAAUUUCGAGCAAUUUCAAGAUUGGAAUUUUUUUUUUUUCAAUUCUCUGCUCCACCACUGUUGUUCAUCUUGUAUAUUACUCCCUCCGUUUCUUUUUAAGUGUCGUUUUAGAAGAUUUUUUUUGUUCCUAUUUAAGUGUCGUUUUGAUGUUUUAAUGUUACAAUUUGUCAAUUAUACCCUUACUAUUUAAAUUAAUCAAACUUUGAUAUUUUCCAUAAAUUUUUCUUUCUUAUAUAUGUAAUAACUCACUCCACAUUUUCCAUAAAAUUCUCUUUCUUAUACGUACUCUCAUUCCCAUACAUAACUCCCAUUCCUAUUCAAAGUAUUGUCUGGUCAAUAAAAAUUAAAUUCAAAUGAUAGCUUCCAAUGUUACAUAGAAAAAUGUAUUAGCAUUAAAUUUUGUCAAAGGAACAAAUUUACCAAUUGAAGACUUAAAAUUCUAUAAAAAGGAUCAGUAGCAUUGUUUAAAUUAUCAAAGUGCAAAACAAAAGAGCUCUGGUGGAAACAACAAAAGACUCCAUGGAUGUUCAAAAAAAGAAAGAGUGGGAAGACACAUGAAAUUAAAAAAAUAUACCUGUGUCAUUGUUGUUUCAACCUCCUCUUGUAAGUUAUCUUCACAGGACUCAUCAAUAUUAUUGGUUGCUUCAAACUCCUCUUCUAAGUUAUCUUCAUCAAACUCAUAUAACUCAAAUAUAUGUUGGUUUGUUAAUGAUGUUUCUGUAUCACUAUCUAAAUCCAUAUUUUAUGAGUUGUAAAUAUUUUGAACUUAUAUAUGAAACCAUACUAUAUGUUACACUGGUUUUAAUUUUUCGUGGGAAACUUAAGUUUUUAUUAAAUAAUGGAGGGAUAUUUUUUCCUUUAGCCAUUCAUUGAAACAAUAAGCAAUAAGUUUUCCUUUAGCCAUUAAUGAAAAUGCAAGCGUACGUAUCCUAUAGCAAGCAAUAUUAAUUCCAAAAAUUUAGGGGUAGUUGAAAAUGCAACGGAGAGAGAGAGGAGUUAUGUGGAGAAAAUUAUGGAAUAGUUAUUUGAAGUAAAUAAUUUAAUGAGUACUGUAUAGUUAAUGAAUUUUAUUUAGAAAGAGAAAGUAUAUGGUGGAUUAAAAUGAGGGUACAAUGGGAAAAAAAUUAUAACAAUUCAUUUAUCUUGGUUGGAGAGCUUUAUGCUAAAACGACACUUAAAAAGAAACGGAGGGAGUAAUUAAUAGAAAUUCAGUGUUAACUCUAAUCAAAAACUGAAAAAAAAUAUGAAAGACAAAAUUUCUCUUGAAAAAAAUAGUGUAUUCUCUGCCACCACUGUUCUUCAUCUUGUAUAUUAUUAAUGAAAAUUCACUGACUCUAACCCAAACUGGUGUGAUUAUGAAAAGAAAUAUGGAAGACAAAAUUUUUCUUAAAAAAAUAUUGGCCUUUUGAAAAAAAAUAGUGUGAUGUAUUUAUCAUCAUUAUCAUAAAAGUUAUUAUCAAUAUACACGGUGAUCGGUCCUGAAUCAAGGAAAAGUAAUACAAUAUCUCUCGUAUAGAGGAAUCAUAUAGGCUUAUUGAAACAACUAAUUUUAUUUAGUAUAUACUAUAUGAUUACACGUACGUAUACACACAGAAUCAUAGUCGUGAUAAAUUACAGAAACAAAUAACGACUAAUAAAUAAAUCGAAUUCCUAACCGCCUAAAGCAAGAAUUCAAUAAAAUAAAAAAUAUAUAUUUAUAGACAGACACGUCUAAGCUAAAACCAUGGAGACGAAGAUUCCAGCAAAAGAAGUAACGGCAACAAAGGUAUUUGUGAUAGAGAAUGCAGCUGAGGGUGCCUCAGCUUCUCCUGCUGGGCCAUUUGUUCCUGGUGCUGGUGGAGAAGAAGUGUUUGGGGUUGGUGAUGAAGGAGAUGGUGAUGGAGAAGAAGUGGUUGAUGGAGAGGGUGCUGGAGAAGUCUUUGUGGAGGGUGAUGGAGCAGGUGCUGAAUUGGGUGAUAAUGAUCGGGUAGGUGCGGGUGCAGGAGCUUGUUGUGCUAUGCAUGAAGUAGCCAACAACCCCAAUAUCAGAAACACUUUGAUUGCAACAGAACCCAUGUUUUUAUAUGUUUUUUUGAUAGAGAAGAAUGUUUAGUGAAAUAUGAUUGAAUCAAUUAUAGAGAAGAAUGGACUAAGGUUAUUGAUUUGUGUUGUCCAAAAAACACUUUGAUUGCAACAGAACCCAUGUUUUUAUAUGUUUUUUUGAUAGAGAAGAAUGUUUAGUGAAAUAUGAUUGAAUCAAUUAUAGAGAAGAAUGGACUAAGGUUAUUGAUUUGUGUUGUCCAAGUGCAUAACUUGUGUAUAUAUAUAUAUAGUGAAAAAUAAAUAUGAUACUGGUGGUGUGUAUUUCAGCAAAGGCGGUUUGUGAUUAAUAAUGGGUCAAAUAAAAAAGAUACUACUUUUCCUUAUUUGUUAAAAAAAAAUCUUUAAUAUUUUUUUUGCAAGUUAAGUAAUACGAAAAGCUGGUACCUUUGGUAUAACCGCGUUUAACCCUUCUCGCUUUGAUUUUUUCUACCGCUGUUUCUAGAUUACCGAAUAUUCAAAGGUUGAUUUGUUCACGUAAGAGUUAUGGAAACUGAUAGGUUGAUAAGGUUCAAACGCGGUUUCUCUUUAUCACAAAAGUUCAAUAUUUUAAAUCGGCGACCAUUAUAUAAGGUCAAUUAAGCGAUAAGUCAAUAAUUUAUUGAUGUUGAAGAUUCUUUUAGUUAACUUUCUUUAAUUUCUCCGCAAUUUGCAUUUUGAUUUUGAUAUUAAUGUUUUUCUUAAUUUAAUUCUAGUAUGAGUCUAUAAUUUUAGGUCAGUACUGUUUUAAAAACUGGAUUGAAAGAUAAGUCGGCAAAAUAUUUAUUUAAGAUUCAAUUGGUUAAAAAUAAGUUUAUCAAAACAUCAAAUCGUAUAAAAUGUUUUAAGGUUUCCUCGCUACAAAUAAAUAAAUUUGUUUCCAUAUAAUAAUGGACAAGAGUAGUUAUGUUUUUAAAAUGAUAUAAAAACUUUAUUAUUAAAUUAUCUAAUUUAUAAUCUUUUAACUUUUUAAUAUAUAUAUUAAAAUUUUAUUUAAAAAUUAUCAAUAAUUAAAAUAACUAAAAAUAUUUAAAUAUUACAAAUCUCUUUUUUUUAUGUUUAAAAUAUGCGGUUUACUCUAUAAUUUAAUUAUUAAUUCUAAUUUUUAUAUAAAAAGGUAUACAAAAUUUCAGAAUUAAGAGUAAUCGGUCAAUAUAUUAGGUAAAUCUAAGAUUUCAUUUUAAUAUAAUAAUAAUAAUAAUAAUAAUAAUAAUAAUAAUAAUAAUAUUUAUAUAUUUUUAUGUAUUGAUAUACAAAAUCUAUUUUCAUUAAUCAAAUCAAUAAAGAACAACCAAAAAGACUAAUAAUAGUUUUACUUUGAUUUUUUUUAUGUGAUUUAGAUAUUUUGUGUUUUCCUACUUCGGAGGAAAUGAUCUCAUAUAUUUAGUAGAGAUUAUAGUAGAAUGUCUUUGGGCCAGUUUGUUUUAGCUUUAGAAAAAUAGAUUUUUUUUUUGUAUUUUUGAAAAUGAAUUUUACAAAAUUAUUUUUCAAAAUAUUAUAAGUUUUUCUAAAUUUACUUUUUAUAAAUUAAAAAACUAAUUUUGAUAUACUAUGACAUAAACCUACAUUAUUGAAGAUCAAAGUAUAGUCAAAAUCAUUUUUUUUUCAAAAAUAUCUAUUUUUAAAAUGAUUUUUAUGAAAAGCUAUUUGAAAUAGUUUCAAAAUUAAGUGAUUUUUUAGAAUUUUGAUAUCCAAAUUUUUUUUCAAUAAAAUGAUGAAAUAUCUAAAAUAACAUUUUAAGAAUAACGAUUCAAACCAAAUUUUCAUUUGAAACUUUUAUGAAAAAUUUCUUUUUAAAAUUUUUUUACAUCAAAAUAUGUUACACUAUAAAAAUCAUUUUAAAAAAAACCAGAAUAAACGGGUCCUUUAUCAGCUAUGGACACGUGUUUCUUCGGAAAUUGUUGGGAAAUCUUUUAGAGCGUUAAAUAAUCAUUUGAACAAUUGUCAUUGUAUAUGAUCCUAUGAGGAAUCACCAUGUGGAAGAGUUUUUAAAGAAUCAUCUUCCGAAAUGAUUUUUUAUGAUUCAUCGUCGAGAAGAUUGCUUGGAGAAUUGUUGUAUCAAGAGUUUAUUACAACGUACGAGAACUUGGUAGAAUCACAUAAAACAACAAAUGAAGAAUCAAUUGUAGAAAUUUCAAAUUCAUCAAUCAGGGAUGGAUUCAUAUAGAGAUGACAACUAAGAUUUAAUCAAAGCUUAGUCAAGAGAUUCUCAUGAAGCAUCUCCGAGAAUAUUAUUAAAGAAAUCAUAUUUUAUUUCUAAAAGAGAAUCAAGAAAAAUGCUUGGAAUUGAAUUAGGUAAACGAAAAAGGCAACCUCUAAAUUCUAUGAAAUGUGAAACUUAUGAUUCUUUGAAAAAUAAAAUCAGUAGACUACAUGAUACCUUAGGUAAAUUCACUGAGGGAAGAGAAAAUCUAUAUUUAACUUUAUAUAAUCAAAUGGCUUUGUAUAAGAAAAGUGGAUUAUAUUAUCAACCUAAUAAAAAAAUUAUUAGUAAAUGUCAUGCCAAGAAGAAGACCAUUCGUCCUAUUUUUAAAUGCAACUAUUGUCAUAAGCUUUGUAAUCUUGAACAUUUGUGUUUUUAUGAAAUUCGUGAUUUAAGAUGGUCUAAGGGGUAUGACUCAAGACAUCUUAAACCUACUAACACAUAAGGACGCAAAAAUAUUUGGAUACCAAAGAUGAAUACUUAAUUUAUUUUGUAUGAAUGCUUUACAACUUUAAAGGGGCGGAUAUACAAGUUAAAAAAAGUCAUGGAAAGCAAGAGUUUGAAGAUUCCACCAAAAAAAGAUGAUUUUGAUAGUAUUUAUUGUUAAAGAAUCAUGUGGAAGUAUUUUGAUGAAAGGUCUUUAAGAGAUAUCUCUCCAAAGAAGAAAUGAUAUUCUAGAUAACCUCUCCUAUCAAGAAAUUCAGAUAGAUGCAAUUUUUUCCAACUUUGUUCCUUCUUUUAAAACGGGAAAUUAUUUCAAAGUUCUUUGUACUUUUAAGCUAAAACACUUGAUGUAUAUUUUAAUUAGAGACUAAAACCAUAAUCGUUAACAUCAUGUGGUUCUCCAAAGGCUUCUUGUCUAGAGUCUUUUCUGUUACAAGAUCCUUUUUCACCAAAGGUUUAUUUUCCAAAGAUUGUUGACAUAUGACUUUUUUUUCAAGAGGAUGUUAAUGCUGGAUUUCCAUUAUCUUGAUAGUUGCAAUUUAUUCAACUAGUUUUGAUGUAUCAUUGUCAAACUCUUUCUACUCAAGCCUUACAUGUAUUGAUUCUUCAACAAUCAAAAUUUUACUAUUAUAUACCUUGUAAGUUCUAGAGCAUAUAUAAUAUCUUAACAAAAAACACUUUUCUGCCUCUAAAUCGAACUUGUUAAGGUGAUCUUUGGUGUUUAGAAAUAACAAGUAUAAUAAAAAUGAUGGAAAUAUGACAAUAUUAAUUUUUCUACCUUUCCAUAAUUACAAGGAGUUUUAUUCAAUAUUGGUUUAAUAUAUUUUCUAUUUUCCAUGUAACAUGUUGUAUUUAUUGUUUCUUCUUUUUGUAUAAACUUAAGCAUACAAAACAAGACAUUUCUUUGCGAUUUAGGGAUUAUACACAUUGUUGUUUCUUUUUGAAUUGGAUGAAUUAUUCAAAAUAACACGGAGUACGUUCAAGUUGUUCUAGUGCAAAAGGGACACAUGUGGAACACGAUGUUCCAACAUAUGUGUAGCAACAUCUAGUAUCUGACAAUAGACAUAUGUUAUUGCAGUUAUGUUUCAGAUUUAAUCCAAAAUUUAUUCUUCAAAGAAGAUUUAUAUGAAGAAAGUUCAUUUGAAUAUUUUGGUGCAACAUGUGGAACAUGAUGUUCCAAUAUAUGUGCAGUGCAACAUUCGGUCCUGGUCAGUGCAACAUGAUGUUCCAAUAUAUGUUCCAAUCAGAUUUAUUGCAAAUUGUUUACCAAUGUUUGUGUGAUUUUUUUGACAAUUGUUGAAGAUCAAAUAAGAUAUAAAUGGAGAUUUUUAAAUUUGAAUUUGAAAUAUAACAAAGCAUAUAUUUUGUUGCAAAUAUUUAUGGAGAAAAUCAAAUCCAACAUGUUCAACUAUUAUGUUGGACGAAAUUAAAUUAGAGAUACAAAGGAGAAAAUCCCAUAAUGCAUUGAUAUUUAAGGAGACUCAAAUCUCAUGUUUGAAACAACUUUCUUGCCCUAUGACUAAGUUAUUUAUUCUAGGGUUUUUGAGUCUUUUUUUAUUUGUAUUCCACGCUAAUACUAUCACUCAUAUCAUAAGGAUUAGUGUUGGGUCUUGUUUGUGUACACUGUAACACCCCGAUAAAAUAUGAUAAUUAUUUAAUUUAAGUUUAAUAGUAUAUUAUGAUGAUAAUAUGAAUGAGAGGGUAUUAUUUAGAUAAACCAUUCAUAUAUAUUAUUAUUAGUAUAUUUAUUAAUUUAAUUAAAUAAUUGGAAUAUUAUUGGAUUAUUAUUAUUGGAAUUAUAAGUUGGAAUCAGUAAAGAGUCCCAAUUAGAAAAGGGUUUUUCACGUGAAAACAGAGAAGCGACUGGAAAGUGGAGAAAGGGAGAAGAAGAGGCUAGGGCUCAGGAGGAGAAUUCUCGAUUGUUGAAGGUCAAAGAAUCAAUUGCCGGAUUAACUCAGGUAAGGGGGGUUUAUCGUCGUUUAAUGGGCAUUAUGGGUUAACAUGUAAUGGGUAGUAAUAAGCCAUUGAAUUGACUCUAAUCAGGAUGAUGAAUGCUGCAAAUUGUGAACUUAUGGAUGAAUGAGAUAUGGGUUUAUAAUUGAAGAAAAUUCGUAGGAAUUAGAUGUAAUAAGGUUAGAAAUUGUGAAAUUGAAUGGGUAUGAUCUGUGUUAGAUAAUAUGAACGAAUGCUGUGUAAAAAUUGGACUGUGGAAGGUUGGAUUUGAGAAAUCUCGUAGCAGAGAAAAACCCAUAGCAGAUCUGGAAUUUUGGUUUCUGGUCAUACGCGUAUGACACUAGGCCAUACGCGUAUGAGAUGGCCUGGAGGGGAGGAGACUGGUGCUGAUACGCGCCAUACGCGUGUACUUACGCGUAGCCUGUGAGUGGUACGCGUAUGGGGUGAGGCCAUACGCGUAUGAAUGAAGAAGAUGAUGUUCUAACGUAGUUUUGUCUCUGUUGGUACGCGUAUGGGAGAAGUGGUACGCGUAUCAUACGCGUAUGAGACAGGCCAUACGCGUAUGGGCUUGGCUAGGAAAUGUGCCAUACGCGUAUGGGCAUGAGGCAUACGUGUAUGGGCAGAAGUUUGAUUUUUCUGAGCUGUUGUUGUGCAGUUUUGGUCGUUUCAGCUGAGUGAUGUAAUUUAGCUGAUGUAUGAUAUAGUAGGGAUCAUUUCCCGUUGUUUUGAGCAGUAUAGGUAUUAGUAGAGUGUGCUAAUACUGUGAUUUAUUAUUUGGCAUGACAUGAUAUGAUUCUGUGAUAAAUAUGCUGAUGAUGUAUGAUGGUAUGCAUAAUGCUGUGAAUAUAUCUAUUAUGUAUGCAAUUGUGGAUGGACUGUUUAUGGCUUAGAGUGUGAGCAUAUGUCCAUUGUGGAUUGUUGUUGAUGUUUGCAUGCUAGGUGAUUUAGCGUGCAUAGCAUAGCCUUUAGGGUGGUAGCUAAUUCCCAUGGUGAGGAAUUAGUGAGUGAGUCACUAGGUCUCAAAUGAGUGGGACUAGUGAGCUUGGUAGCCGUAUCUGGGUUUGAUCGGUGAGGUUGAACUAUGUGUUCACGAAUAGUCGGUACCGCAUGCAUGGAGUCUCAUUGCAUAAUGUAUGUAUGGUGUAUAAUAUGAAUGGAUGUAUUCCAAUAUUAUACGUGUGUUUUGUGUUGUGUUGAGUAUGAUUUGAGUUGAUGUUGCCGUUGCUGAAUGUGUGAUCUGAUUAGGGUGAUGAAUGUGUUAAUUUACUUAGCAUUACAUGAUAUUUUAUAAUGCUUAUUCUAUCGAUUGAGGAACUCACCCUUACAACUAUGUUUCAGGUAACGAGCAGUGAUUGAGUAGAAGCUAGUGCUUGGAGUCUAGUGUAGUUCCUUAGUGAGUCAUGCUCUGGUAUAUGUAACAUCGGGACCGGAUGUUUUACUUUGUUUUCAUUGUUGGUUGUUAAACAAUUUUACAUGUAAGGUGUUACAUGGUUCGAAUGUUGUUAGAUUUCUAUCCGCUGCGAAUUGUGCAAUGUUUUAUUUUGAUUAAUAAAUGAGCAUGACCAGUUAUUUGAUGAACGGUGUGAAGUGUAAAGUGUGACACCCUGAAAUUGCAUAUCUACUCUGAUUUAUAUUUUGUUGUUUUAAUUAAUUAUUGGGGUAUUUUAGAAGGGUGUUAAAUUAGUGGUAUCAGAGCAUAGUCGGUCGAGUCGAGUCGUAAUUAUUCUGUUUCCCUGUAUGUGAUAGGUGUUGUGUAACCCUAUCAGUACUUAUUGUUUUAGCUUGUUGGGUUUUCAGAAUAGAGAUGGCUGGAAGAGGUAGAGACGAUGCUGNUGAAAAGUUAUUUUGGUGGCCGGGAAUGAAAAGAGAAAUUGCCGAGUUUCUGUUUAUUCUUGUUUUGACAUUGUCAGAAGUCAAAGAUGAGCAUCAGAAGCCGUAUGGGCUAAUUGCAACCGUUGGCAUUCCAGAGUGGAACGUGGGAUAGUAUCAGUUAUGGCGUUUUGUUUCGGUUUAUCCGAGGGACCCAAUUAAGAAUUUUUGAAGCUGUAUUUGGGUGAUUGUUGACAGAUUGAAAGAAAUCGGCUCAUUUCAUUCCGAUCAGACUGGGAUUAUCCGUUAGAAAGAUUAGCUGAGUUUGUAUAUUGAGAAAAUUGUAAGUUUGCAAUGGUAUUCCGUCGAGUAUUGUUUCGCGACAGGAGAUCCUAGAUUACAUAAGUUCUGGGAAGGUUUGCAGAGGGCUUUGGGGACUCAGUUUGAGAUUGAGCUUUCUGCAUAUCAUCGCAGACUGAUAGGUCAGACUGAGCGAGGACGAUUUCAGUUCAACUGGAGGAUCUUUUGAGGGCUUGUGUUUUGGAAAAGGGAGGUGCUUGGGAUUGUUAUUUACCUUUGAUGAGUUUUACCGUACAAACAAUAGUUUCAAUUCGAGCAUUGGGUAUGGCACCGUUGAAGCUUUGUAUGUAGGGAGAUGUCGGACACCUUUUAUGUUGGAUAUGGAGUCCGGUGAGAGUGCUCUGGUUUGGACCGGAGAUUGUUUCAACAAACUAGAAAAGAUUAAGAUGAUUCGGGAGAAGAGCAGGAUUGCUCAGAGUUCGUCAGAAGAAUUAUCACGACAAGAGGAGGGAAGUCACUGAGUUUCAAGAGGGACAUUCAGUGAUUCUUCUUCGUGUUACUCCCAUAACUGGGAUUGGGGUCAGCUUUGAAGUCGAAAAAAGUUUGACACCUUCGAUUUUACUUGGUCCUUAUCAGGAUUUUGGAGAGGAAUAUGGGAGGUAGCCUAUCGUAUCGGCUUUACCCCCACCGCCCGUCAACUUGCGAAUUUGCAUGAGGUUUUUCAAUGUGGUCUCAGUUUGAGGAGGUACCAUUCCUGAUCCGUCGCAUGUGGGUUCCAGUAGAUGAUGUACAGUGAGAGUAUUAACCUGACUGUUGAAAACAUCACCUAUGAGGAUAGAGGAUCUGUAGAGUGUGAAGAUUUGCGGGUGUAAGAGAUUGCUUUGGUAAAGGUAGCUUGGGAAGGACCAGCAGGUGGCAAUGUGAACUCGGGAACUGAGAGUUCGAAUGAAGGAGUCUUAAUCCAGAGUUUAUUCGCUUUUGGGGAGGGGUCAUGGUUUCGAGGACUUGGAAACUCUUUUAGUGGGCGGAGAGUUGUAAACACCAGAUAAAAAAGAUAAAUUAUUAAUUUAGUUAAUUAGUAUAUUAUUAAUUUAAUUAAAUAUUGGGAAUAUUAUUGGGAUUAAUUUUCAUUGGAAUAAUUAAAGUUUGAAUAUAUAAUAAAAGUUCCAUUGGUAAAAAGGGGUUUUUCACGUGAAACCAGAGAAGCGACAGAAAAGUGAGAAGAGGGCAAAGAGGAAGAGCAAGAGACCAAGGGUUGAAGAAGGAAAAGCUUGAAGUAAAGGAUUUGUCGAUUAAACUCAGGUAAGGGGGUUGUAUCGUCGUUUAAUGGCGUAUUAUGGGUUACAUGUAAUGGGGUAGUAAUAAGCCAUUGAAUUGACCCUAAUUGCGGAUGAGGAAUGUUGCAAAUUGUGGAUGAAUAAGUUAUGUUAAAACUGUAAUUGAAUCUAUAUGUGGGUGAGUCGUAAUUCUGGACGUGUAGUUUUUACGCGAAUUGAAAUCGGAGGUCCGCCGAAGUCUCGCGAGAGGAAAAUGCGGGAAAUCUGCAUUCUUGUUUUCGUGUUAGCGCGGAACAACUUUCUGUUCUGCGUUAACCGGUUAACCCAGGGUGUAACCGGUUACACUGUUAUGAUAAAAUUAAAAGAAUUAAUUUCUGUUCCUGCGUUAACCGGUUAACCCCAGGUGUUACCGGUUAACACUGUUAAAAAUUGCCAGAAAGUUGUUCGUGUGUUGCGUUAACCGGUUAACCCAGGCGUUACGCGUUAACACGUCUGUUUGGAAGUGGAAAAUUGAUAUUCAAAUAUUGUGUACAUAUUUGACGUUUGGCCUAUAUUGGUGUAUGAUAUAGUAGGGAUCAUUUCCCGUUGUUUUGAGCAGUAUAGGUUAUUAGUAGAGUGUGCAUUAUCUGUGAUUUAUUAUUUGGCAUGAUAUGAUAUGAUUCUGUGAUAAAUAUGCUGAUAAGUAUGAUGGUAUGCAUAAUGCUGUGAAUAUAUCUAUUAUGUAUGCAAUUGUGAUGGACUGUUUAUGGCUUAGAGUGUGAGCAUAUGUCCAUUGUGAUUGUGUUGAUGGUUGCAUGCUAGUGAUGUUUAGCGUGCAUAGUAUGGCCUUUAUGGUGGGUAGCUAAUUCCCAUGGUGAGGAAUUAGUGAGUGAGUUAUUGUGGAUUGUUGUUGAUGUUUGCAUGCUAGGUGAUUUAGCGUGCAUAGCAUAGCCCUUGGGGUGGUAGCUAAUUCCCAUGGUGAGUGAAUUAGUGAGUGAGUCACUAGGUCUCAAAUGAGUGGACUAGUGAGCUUGGUAGCCGUAUCUGAUUUGAUCGGUGAGGUUGAACUAUGUGUUCACGAAUAGUCGGUACCGCAUGCAUGGAGUCUCAUUGCAUAAUGUAUGUAUGUGUUAUAAUAUGAAUGGAUGUUUUCCAAUUUAUACGUGUGUUUUGUGUUUGUGUUGAGUAUGAUUUGAGUUGAUGUUGCCUGCUGAUGUGUGAUCUGAUUAGGGUGAUGAAUGUGUUAAUUUACUUAGCCAUUACAGAUAUUUUAUAAUGCUUAUUAUUCGAUUGAGGAACUCACCCUUACAACUAUGUUUUCAGGUAACGAGCAGUGAUUGAGUAGAAGCUAGUGCUUGGAGUCUAGUGUAGUUCCUUAGUGGGUCAUGCUCUGGCUAGAUGUAACAUCGGGACAGGAUGUUUUACUUUGUUUCAUUUUGGUUGUUGAACAACUACAUGUAAUGUGUUACAUGGUUUGCUGAUGAUUAGAUCUCUAUCCGCUGCGAAUUUAUGCAAUGGUUUUAUUUUGAUGAAUAAUGAGCAAGCAUGACAAGUUAUUAUGGUGAAUGGUGUGAAGUGUCAAGUGUGACACCCUUAAAUUGCAUAUCUACUCUGAUUUAUAUUUGGUUGAAUUAAUUAAUUAUUGGGGUAUUUUAGAAGGGUGUUACACUUUGAUUCUUGCAACUACAGAUGGUGAAGAGUUCACUCGUCCGGUGAACGCCGAUGCAGUCAAGAAAUACUUUUCCUAAAAAUAAAAGAACAACUCGCUAAGUUGAAAACUCGAAAGGGAGGCUUAGGCAAAAAAGAGCGUCUCGGUGGAUUGAAGACCCGAAAGGGCGAUUCAGGCAAACAUUAGAGACAUAAUACAGAAAAUUUAUCUCGGUAGAUUGAGUACUCCACCUUGGGGCAAUCUAGGAAAAAAUUAGGGAUUAUGGCAAGUAACUGCAUUCGGAUGAUCCUAAUCAUAGAAGCAUUUUUUGAGCAAGUCAUUUGGUUCUGGUUCUUCAUUCUCAACUGAAGACAAGCACAAUGGAUGUUGAAGUUGGUAAGGAGAGUAGUGACCAUUGUAUUCAAUAUAACCCUUUUCCAUGUAAAUUACUAUUUUUCAAACAUUGUAAAAAUCUAUGGAGUCUCGUCAUUUACAGACUGCCAUUCUAUUAAAUAAAGUUGAGCUUUUAUCCAAUUAUUUAUAUUCUUAUUUACUUCUGCUAAAUGAAAUUGAAUUUUUAUGAUGAUAAUUUUGAAAUAAAUUAAUGGAUAAUCAUUUUUCUUAAAACAAUAAAAGUAAUCACUUUAAGGAUAAUCGAUUUCAGUAAGGAAUGUUAACAACAAUAUGAGAACAUGUAAGUCUUGAAGUGUGAAGCAUUGUUGGUCUUCCCCUGAGCAGUUGGUUUGGUAACUUUUUUCCUCCCCAACAGUUCGUCAUUUAUCCCCAGCCUGGUUGACGAGUUUCUCCCUGAAUAUGUCAUCAUCCCAAAUAGAGCCAGUGGCUCUCAUUCCAGUUGAGUCAAUGAUCGGUCCCCUUUGCAAACUCAUAUUCCCCGGCUGAGGUGCUCUUGUUUUGUAUCCCCCCAGUUUGUGUGUGGACUCUAGAGAUCCAAAACCUUUAUUUGGUUUCCAUUUUUGCAUUGUGUUGCAUAACUUCGGUAGUUUCCCCUUUUUGCGAAUCAGAUCUAGUUAUAUUUGCCCUGGAAUUGGUUUAUUUCGCAAUUUCCAAGAAGCAUCCAAUAAGUAUUGAGGAAUGUGAUGGUCUUGGUCAUAACAUCCCCAACAGUUUGCUUAAAUCCUCAUGCAGAGUUUUACCUCUUGUAUUCCCCAACAGAGUUCAUCUUCAGAUAUGAAGAUCCCUCUUCCCGGCAGUAUUGGAUUCUGAGCAGUGUUUGAUUUUUGUCCCCUGCAAGGUUGUCUCCCAUUCUGACAUGGUGUUGACCUAAAAUUCCCCGCAGUAUUGACAAUUUGGAUCCUCAGCAGAUCCCUGUUACCCUCGGUAUGUUUGGUUGAUCAUCCUUCAGCAGUGCUCUCUCUCCGUAGAGUUCGCCAUGAUUGUUUGGAAUCACGUUCUCCUUGGUUUUUCUAGCCAUAGCUGAUUUGUGCAGAGCUAGAUAAUUUGUUUUCAUCCCUAUCAUCUUCUCCAAUUGAUGUUUUCAUCUUGUUGAGAUUAGCCGAGUGUUGCAGUAGUGAUUCAAAUCUUUGUUAUUUGUAUCCUUUGUGCUUUUUUGUCAGCAUAAUCAUAAUCAUACCCGCAUAUACAUGCAUAAAGCACAUCAUCAGAUAUUUCAUUAUUCAUUUUAUCGCAUUUUAUUUUUUUCCGACCCCUUGCUUCGGUGAUAUUAUCUCCCCAUGUAGAUUUGGUGUGUCUGUCCUCCUUCAUUCGUAGAGUGUCAUCCCCUUAAUCAGAAAGAGUUUAACCUUUCUCAUUCCCCACCGAGUUAUUUCCUCGUGGAUGAUUAUUAUUUCAGUUUCCUCCCUAGUUAAUUAUCUGGAUGGAACCACUCCUCUUGAGUUAGAUCCUCAUUGGGUUGAGUCUUUGUUUGACCGUUUCUUUCUAGUUUUUACCUAGAUAGAUAUUUUGGUCCCUUGAGAGUUUAUUACCCAGUAACCUAAUAUUCUUCUCGAUUUUGAGUACUUUACUUUUGCCCAGUACCCGGUAAAAUGUAAUCUACUUCCUUUGUUUUCCCCAGCGGUUUCGUUUUCAUGUUUCCCCAGGUAGUUUAUCCUUGAUAUGUUCAUCCUAACCGAUGACGGAUAUUCUUCCUUUUAUGGUUUUCUACCAUGUAAAAAGGUAGUUGUAAUCCCUAUUUUAUUCCCCAGAGAAUCUAUCCUUGAUAUGUUCACUUUAACCGGUGAUAGAUUUUCUCUCCCUUUUCGGUAUUCUACCCAGUAACCGAUAGUUGUAAUUCAUACUUUCCCCUGCUGAGUUUAUCCUUUAUAUGUUCAUCCUAACCGGUGACGAAUAUUAUCUCUUUGGUAUUCUAUCCAGUAACUGAUAGAUAUAAUUCCUAUUUCUCCCCGACAGUUUAUCCUUGAUAUGUUCAUCCUAACCGAUGACGGAUAUUCUUCCUUUGAGUUUAUCCUUGAUAUGUUCACUUUAAUAGGUGACAGAUACUCUCUCUUUGCUCUUCUGCCCAAUAAUCGAUAGUUGUAAAUCAUAUUUGAGUUCUCUCCCCAGUAGGUUAUUCUUACCCAGUAACCGGUAAUGGAUACACCUCUUUUUCCUCAAAGAGUCAUCCUUGAUAUGUUUACCCUAAUCGGUAACGGAUAUCCCUUUGUUAGAGUGUAUUAUCUUCCUACCCAGUAACCGGUAAUAGAUAAUAUAUCUCUUAUACUCCUGUGUUGAAGUUCAUUCUUCCCCAGUUGAGUUUGAGUGCGUAUUUCCCUAGUGGAAUCGCCUUUUCCUAUUUGGUUCGAGUAUUUCUACUUUGUUCUAAUCUACCAGUUUCCCCUAUAGAUUAUCCUGGUUCCCCAACCGAGUCUUUCCAUUGAUUUAUAUUCAUGGAAAUCCCCUCGUGCCUCCAGCCGUUUUUAAGACGUAGCCUGGCCUAAGAACAAAUUUUUAUCCCCCUAGAGUCUUUGUCUCCCCAGUAAGUUUUCCUUAUGGAAUGCAUUAUGCUCCUGCGGACUUUCAGUCUCUCCGGAUUCUUUUCCUUUGUGGCAAUUUAUUCCCCACAAAGAUUAUUUUACAUACAUACCAUAUGCAUCAUGAGGUCUCUUAGGGACCAAAAUUUGUUUCUUGAUGUUGUUAUUUAAGUCUAUUCUACUGAGUUGACGGGAAGUUUUUAACCUUGACAUCCUCAGUUAGAAUGUCCUUAAAUAGGGGCAGCUGUAAGACCCCAAUCUUGACCCUAAGAUCCCUCAUACUAUCUCAUCAUUUGCAUUGGCUUUGGGAUCACGCCUUGGUAUCCUCCUUACCCCUCAUUCAUUGGGUUUGCAUUGGGAGAGAUCACCAAGCAUAUUUGAUUGUAUCAUACUUUGUUUUUUAUUAUGAACUAACCAAAAUACCAAAAAUAUGUCUAUGUAUAGCUUUGUUUCUUUUGUAGGUAGUGUGUGCAUCCACGAAUGCCUCAUCAAGCUCAUAUAUAGGGUUUGAGACCCUCAAUGCAAGGAGAUCAAUCAAGAGAUUAUUCACAUUGGCUCUAAACAUCAUAUAUGGGUCCCCAUGUUCUUCAUUUAUCAUUUUGAUCAAGAAAUCAUCAAGGGUUUGAAGUUUGUUUGCAUUGGAAGCCCUAAUUCAUUUGGGUAUCUUGUGUGACUUCCUCAACAAGUUUAUUUAACAUUUGAUAAAAUAUUUCAAGGGAUACUUUAUUAUACAUCAUCUCAUCAAUAUAUGAUCAUCCAUGAGCCCCAAAUAUCAAGAAAACUUCAAGUUUGCAAGUUGGUUCAUGGUGGUUGACUAGAGAAAGUCAACUGCUCAAAAUUGGGGUUCCCUAGACCCUAUCUCCUACAAUUUGUGUCAUAUGGAAAUUAUUCUAAGAGAAACGUUAAUCUUUAUGAUAUUCCAAACAACUUUAAUUUUGAAUUCAAGAGCUAGUUUUGCUCGGAAAGUCAUUUUUUAUGGUGAAAUAUUAUAGGUUAUUUUGUUUGUGCCCUUGUUAGAAGGUCAACUUCCAAGGACCAUAACUUGCUGAAUUUUUAUGAGAUGAAGUCCAUCCAAGUUUCAUGAUCAAUUUAAAUAUGUCACUUCCAACUUUUAUGCUUUGAGAAACUUCAAAUUCAACUUGCAAGGGCAUGUUCCAAGAAGAAACAUUAUAGGUCAUUUUGGGUCAUUACCAUUGAACAAGCAAUUUUCCUCAACUUCUAAAAUACAUUACUCCUUCAUGCAAAAUCCAAAUGAGAUCCAAUUUGUGACCAAAUUGAAUAGGUUUGAAAGAGAUACAACUUUUAUGAAGGAAAUGUUUCCAUUUGAAGCUCAUAGCAAAAGUUAUUCAAGGUGGAAGAAGUGAACAUUUGACUUGGUACUUAGAAAAAUUUCAAUCAUGUUUGAAUUUCCAAACUUCCACCUCAAAAUUCCUCAUGGUACAAGCUUCAAAUGAAAAAGUGUUCAACAUGAAAGUUGUUCCCCUUGGUCUCACCUUCCCAAAAAGUCCAAUAUCACCUCAUUUGGACCGAGAUUGAGGGACUUGCAUAUGGUUCCUUUCAUAGGUUUAUUUUGGUAAAACUUGAACUCAAAUAACCAUUUCCUAUUGCAUGCUUACAUGUUAUGGUUUUAGUACUCAAUGUGCACGAAUUGGAGUUGGAUUGCAUCAUUCCUUAGGCCCAAAUCAUUGCCCAUUCAUUCAUGCACCAAAGUUGCUAAAAUUGGCAAAUGUUCAAGGUGUGUGAAAAGUAACUUGAUACACUAUAAAUACAAGGCCUUUGUGAUCAGAAUGGGGAUCCUUGCUUUGCCAAGAUUUGAACCAUUGCCUCCCUAACCUCCAUUAAAGAAUAAACUUUAAGAUUUCACUUGAAAUCGAGUUUCAAAUCUCCUUCUUUUUUGAGAUUGAAACUCCAAGAAUCCAAACCCUUCUUUGAUCCAAUUCACUUUCUGCAAGCUUCUGGAGUCGAGCCAAGGCCAAUUGGAAGCAAGAUCAAGCCAGAUUCAAGCUACUCGAAGGUGAUUUUUCAGAAACUUUCUCUCUUCGAUUCUCUCUCAAUUCUUCACCAUUCUCUUUGAUUUUUGGUUGGCUGAAGUCCAAUCAAUGUAGGCAACAAGAUUGAGUUGCUUUGAGGUCAAAUCGAAGCAACUUAGAUCAUGAACCUCAAAUUUCAAAUCCAUGUAUCUUUUAAUAUACUUGGAAUUGGAAGAAAUGGAGGUCAGAUUCGUGCUCCUGAGCAUUUUUCCUUCAAAAACAUGUAUCCACUUUUCAUUUUCCAUUUCGUUUAUGGUGGACCAGUCCUGUGAGGUCCAUCAGAGAAGAUGACUGGAGCUAGGGCUCCGGUGGUGUGCUGGCUUUUCCCAUACCAUCUGAUCAUGGUUCCACAUUUUAAUCAGGACCCUUGAUUUUGCAUACCACGUGUGUACACGCGUUGACUA